RNAcentral lists this long non-coding RNA (77196 nucleotides) under Oryza sativa (Asian cultivated rice). Its description in RNAcentral is "long non-coding RNA (OSAT_LNC000971)". Lineage: Eukaryota; Viridiplantae; Streptophyta; Magnoliopsida; Poales; Poaceae. The record is from RNAcentral.
UAACGUGCCAUCUAGAUAUGGUAUCUACCCUAGGUACUAUAGUACACCCAGUACCAUUACCACCCUUGGCGGUGUCUUGUAAUGAGUUUUAACAGUAUAGUGGUUCGGAAGUUAAAAAUAAGCUCAUAUAUUAUCAUAUGUGACAUGUGAAAUUUGGGGUGAAAUAAAUAGAAAUAAAGUUGUCUUUCAUAUUUAAAUACCAUGCCUCUAUAAGGAUAUAUCCUAGUACAUUGUCGUAACUAAUUACCAUCAUCGGUACUCUACAAUUUUACUGUGUUCUUACAUUCGAUCCGAAGCUACUUUGUUUUUAAGAUAUAAAUGGAGCGUAUAAAGGAUGUCCGUCCUUUCAUUCCAAUAAGAACAAUGUAACAUCCUGAAAAUGUGUCAUUUUCUAAUCCUGCAUCAUGCCGACUCUUAUGUUUUUAAUAACCUCCUAAACUUAGGAUAAUAUAAUUAGAGGGACCUCCUAAAACUAACUUGCACAGAAUCCUUAUGCGGUAUUUAAUUUCUUUUGUGUUUUCAUUUAAAAUAUAUUUGGUUAAAUUGAGGUAUUUCUUGAUUUGGUUUAAAACCUUCUUUUGACUAAAAUUCUUUUAUUCAAAUUUAUUUUGAAAACCCCUUUCUAUUUUUAUGAAUUAUGGUCCAAGAAAUUCUCCACUAUUGUCCUAGAACCCAAACCAAACGAUUCCAAUUUUAUUGGAUUUAAUUGUCGACCCAUCCUUUGAUUUUAAACCUAUCCUUUAAUUCCAAACCUAUUCUUAUUUGUUGCCAAAUAUCUAAAUUCUUCCUUUUGAUCUAGCCGCUAAUUUAAUUCCUGUGGCUUGAUUUCCUUCUCGGCACAAGAAUAAUAUUAUUACAAAUAUUGUGAAUAAUUGCUCUUGUGCUAAGAAAAUAAAUUAUAUCCUUGUCACCUAAAUUUCCUUUUAGCCUCAAACAAUUCCUUGAAACCCUUGCCAUAUAUUUUAGGGUUCAAAUCCUAUCCUUUUGCCUCAACCUAUUUUCCUACCACAUUCCCAAAAAUAUUGCACUCAAACUAGAACCCUUUUGGAAAUUAUAUCCAAAUAUAAUUUCCUUUCAAAAUUCUCUAUUCAAAUUCCCUCCAAAAUUCACAAAUAAUUCUUUAUGGGCCGAGAUCUUCUUUUCUCUCUUUCGGCCCUCCUCUCUCUUAUGGCCUAGCUGGCCCAGGAGGCAACCGCCUCUCUCAUCCUCUUCCAGGUGCGCACGCCGCCGCCAACGCCGUACGUCGCCGCUAAGAAAUCGGCGCCGUCAUUCUUUCCUUCACGUUGCCGCAGCCGUGCCUUCGUCGCCCUCCUCCUCUGCGAACCGACUUGAGCAACUGACCUCUGAAGCCUAUAAAUACCGGCGAGCCCGUCCCUUUCUCCCCCACACAUCAUCAGAGCCUCGAGCUCUUCCUCUCUCUCCUGCCAUGUCCGGCCGCCGCCUACCGUCGGCCGAUCUCCUUCACCAUAGUUCAACAACCCAAACCAUCGCGCCAUCGGCUUUGCCUCGGCGAGAUGAAUCCGUUUUUCCCCUUUCCCUUCUCCUUUAGCCACCACCACAAGCCAUCACCGCCACCAUCCAUGCCGGCCAUGGUUGAGCUCCUGCCGUCGCCGUUCCGGCCAUCUCCCUCUCCACCUUAGCUAGCUACCACCCUCCCCGGAUGCGCGUCGCUCGGGAACAUGUUUUUCCGCCGACGUAGCAGCCUCUCGACCACCGGAGCACCAGCGCCCCUUUCUCCCUCUCUUCUCCCUUCUCUCGGCUCUCUGUGAAGCGGGAGGAAGAAGAAGACGAGAAGAAGAGAAAGAAGAGAAAAGGGAAUAGACACUGACAGGUAGGCCCAUGAAUAGUAACCUUUCAUAUUUUCUAGAUUUAUAUUUUCUAGAUUUUAUUCAAAUCCUAUUUUUUAGAAGCCCAUAUCUCCUAAACCGUAGAUCCGAUCUCAGUGAAACCUGGACCUAAAUUCAUAUAAAUUCAAAUGCUUCAUUUUGAUGCUCAAUUUGCUAUUUUAUUUGAAUUUAGGUUUGUCUUUUUAAAUAUUUUCUUUUAUCCCAAAAUACCCUUUAGCCACUAAAAAGCCGCCGGUUGGAACUUUACACCUUCCAUGGGGACGUUUGCGGUCUAUUGGCCCCGACGUCGAACCGUUAGUUGUAAAGCCCGGCAAAAUCAAACCCAAGGUCGAAGUGCUGCUCCUGGCACCCCAUGCCUCGAUGCGUACAGCGGUUGGAGCUUCACUAUUUCCUCGACCUCCAUAGCACGCCGCACAGUUUGCUCUCGAGCCCUGUGUGAUCCUAGCCGCUCCGCCGCCACUCAUGGUUGUCGGAGUAACACUUCCGCCCCACUAAACCUGCACAAACCUCCCAUCCCUCUAGCCGUUAUAUUGUCUAUUGACACCGGCCGGAGAAGAUACCAAACCUAGUCGUCAUGCUUUAGUGACGAAUAGAGAACACCCAAACCCUAGCCGAUAUUUAUCUUACCUCGAUAUCGGCUUAGACAACUGAAACCUUAAUCAGCCUACCAUCCAAAUCCCACAUCCACUACAAUAUUACUUAUCCGCCAUAUCUUAGCCACCUACUCUCCAUCUACCCAGAACCUAUACAUAAAAUAUAGAACCUGGCCGAUAUACUGCCCUACUCCUCAAUCGGCCUAAAUAUAACCGAACCCUAGAUAUAAUCCUACCCAAACCCACUAUCAGCCAAUACCAGUCACAUAUCUGCUCAACCAGUUCAAUUAUCCACUAUACUCCCUAUCCACCAACCAGUCAGAGUCUGCACAUAAAAUAUAGGUGACCUUAGCCGCUUAAUUCCCUCUCUACCCCAGCCACCAACUUUUUAGAAUCCACAUAUAAAAUAUCAGCGCAGUAAUCCAUAUACCUGCAUAAAAGAGAUAGGCUAUACCCUAAACCCUAGCCCUCUUAACCGUUUGUCGUUUUCUUAUUAUUCUAUGGCUUUUAUUGAAUUUGGAUCUUCCUCUUCUACAGUAGAAUCUGUUAUAUUUUGGAUGGCAACCUGUGGUAUUUCAAGGAUCGGAUAAUCAGGUUGUCUAUUUCGGAUUUAUUUGCGUUGGAGCAAGGCAAGUUAUUAUUCCUCUACUUUGAACAUAAAUGCCCUAUAUUCUGUAUCUCUGAUACCUCAUGCAUUAGUCAUAUAUGAUUUCAAAUGCAUAACCUGAACAUAGUAAACCGGAUAUACUAGCUUUUGCUGAGCUCUGUCUAGUUAGACUGCAUAAAAUAUAAUGAACUUAGAUUGGGACAAUACGGUAGAAAUGGUUGAUUUCCGGGUGGCUAGUACUGUUCCAACCGACAUAAGAUUGCCAAGUACAUGUGAAGAAUAUACGAGUACGACCGCAAUUCUCAUAUGGGCAUAGACCUAGCUGAUUAAGUUAUCUAGCAAAGGUGGUACCUCUGUAUAGUGGUUCUUCUUAAGUCCUCUUGCAAGAGGCAACUUACGCCGAGCAGGGCGAUUAUAAUAUUUACCGAGGCGCAGGUAAAUAUAUUGAUUAUUGCGCGCUGUGUGUAUAUUGUGAAAACCUAGUUGGGAUGACGGGGAUCUCUCAACCAGUUCUCUCUAAAAACCUCAGGAACGCCAGAACUCCUCUCGCUGCUGAUAACGUUACGUUCAGAGCGUAUGAGGACUAUAGUUCAUGGAACAGGUACCACUGAUGUUAGUAACCCAAAAGCUUUGCCAUGACUAAGCUGAUGAAUAUUAGCAUGUCAUGGAUUGCGGGUAAAGCGUACAUCUACUGCAGUAUGAAAAUUAUUAAAACUAUUCGAAUAGCCGUGCUCGCGGUUAUCGAGCAUUGGGACUCACAAUGGCAUCUUGGUUAGAAACAUAAUUUCAAACUUUAUUAAAUACUGUUGCAUAUCAAACAUUUCAGGAUUUCUACUUCUUUAUUCUCAGCUUUCUGCAAUUAAACCUAGCUCUACUCAAAUAUUACCAUUUCAUACAUUUAUAAUUGAAUAUAAUAGCUUGCUGAGUACGUUGUACUCAUCCUUGCUUCAACCCCUUUUUCAGAGUUAAUUUGGAGUCUUGCCGAAGCCGGGAGUUCAAUCAUAUAAGUUAAUCUCAUUUUAACUUAGUUCUCAAGUAUAGAUUAGAUAGAUGGUUUAAGUCUAUAGCCAAACAUUAGAGUUAAGACAUCCUAUAGCUUCUGCUGUGUUAGUUAGCCACAAACUUGUAAAUACCCUUAUAUUUUGUAAUAAUAUCUCCUUUGAAACCUUGAUCAAUUGUAUGCAAUGAAGAUCCAGAUCGUUAAACCUGUAUCAAUCUACUGAUCCAGGGCUUGAUACAGUCUAAACAUGUCGGUUUCCAAAUCAUUAGUUUUGGGACCCGACAGAACAAACACAAAGCACAUAUGGCAAAUAGUAAAUCCACUACAACAAAAUCAAAGACCAUACAAAGCACGUAAAGAUGUAGCAAUCCACAUUGAUUCUUCAUCCACUACUAAAACAAGCGCGUAUGAAAGGCCGCAUAUGCAUGAUCAUUGUGAAUAUGACAUGCCCUUGUCGAGCAAACGUGUCACUUCAUGCAAAUAUGUUGUUUCAAGCGACAUCAAUAUAUGGUUCAAAAAUGGGUCCAUAUGAUUUUUUUAAGCAACUUUUGUAUAGAAACUUUUUGCAAAAAACACAUUGUUUAGUAGUUUGAAAAGCGUGCGUGCGGAAUACGAUAGAGAUGGGUUGGGAACCCUGGAUUCCGAACACAGCCCAAGUCUAUCCAAAAAGUUUAGACAAGAAAACACGUUUGGUACCGCAUCUACAAGUAGAGCAAAAUGGCGAUUUCUCUUAAAUCUCUCGAAUGGUGAUUUAAGAAUUUAGUGCAAAUCUAAUCCUUGCUAUAAUCAAACGUUCGGUACCGCAUCAACGGAACAAUAAAAAGCACCUGGCGUACCAUAAUUUUGUCAUUCUUGUUGAAAUUUGUAAUUUAAGAUGCAUGAGGCCACACGACCUUAAUGUUCAACGUGUCAUGCAUUAGUGAAAUAAUAGCUCACAAAACGCAACAAAUAUAGCUAGAUAACGGUUGCAAUCCUUACCAAACUAACGUAUAAAGUGAGCAAUGAGUCAUAUCAUUAUCUCCCUAGCCUGCUAACCAUCAUGUACACCAUCCAACUUCUAGGGAUGAACUUGGACAAGGUUUAAGGUUUCGGGAUGAAUCUGAACAAAUGAUUGUUCAGGUUCAUCCCUAGAUGUUGGUUUCUCGUUAUGGGACGGAGGGAGUAUAUGUGAUGGACACAAAAGUUACUUUCAUGAUGAAACAAAGGGGAUUUAUUAGGGCACCUAAGAGAACAUCUGUCCAAAUGACAUGACACACUUAGAUCUUAAUAGGACAUCCAAGCAAAACUAACACUCUAAAGCCACCGAUGUGGAAUUGAAAGAAAAUACGUGCCAUCGCAUCUAUAAAUAAACAAGCGCAAUGAAAACCCUCCUUAUCGUUCACACAGUUCAAGCCUUAUACAACAAAAUAGAAAGAUCUAGUGUCCCGUAGCAAUGAAGAUCAUUUUCGUCUUUGCUUGCUAUUGCUGCAUGCAGCGACUCUGCGCAGUUUGAUGUUUUAGGUCAAAGUUAUAGGCAAUAUCAGCUGCAGUCGCCUCUCCUGCUACAGCAACAGGUGUUUAGCCCAUAUAAUGAGUUCGUAAUACAACAGUAUGGCACAGCGGCAAGCCCCUUCUUGCGAUCAGCUGCGUUUCAACUAAGAAACAACCAAGUCUUUGAACAGCUCGGGCUGGUGCGCAACAAUCUCACUAUCAGGACAUUAACAUUGUUCAGGCCAUAGCGCAGCAGCUACAACUCCAGCAGUUUGGUGAUCUCUACUUUGAUCGGAAUCUGGCUCAAGCUCAAGCUCUAUUGGCUUUUAACGUGCCAUCUAGAUAUGGUAUCUACCCUAGGUACUAUAGUGCACCUAUUACCAUUACCACCCUUUGCGGUGUCUUGUACUGAGUUUUAACAGUAUAGUGGUUCGGAUGUUGAAAAUAAGCUCAGAUAUCAUCAUAUGUGACUUGUGAAACUUGGGGUGAUAUAAAUAGAAAUAAAGUUGUCUUUCAUAUUUAAAUACCAUGCCUCUAUAAAGAUAUAUUGUCACGCUCUGAAAAUCGCCUAAUUGAAUAAUUCAUUCUUUAAUGCAUUUUUAGAAAUUAUUUUAAAAGCUUGCAAGUUAAACUCUAAUAAUCUAGGAAAAAUCGCAACAAAAAACUGAGUUAGAUAAAAUUUCAUCAAAUACUUUGCUUGUUGAUCUAUUUUCUAGAUUUUUCUGGGAAUUAUUUGAGCAAGGGAAGUAUUUUUAAUCAACGAAAUAGCAUUUCACGAAUUAUUCAAAUAAGGAAAAGUUUGAAAACCUUUCUGUAGGCCGUGGGUCAUUUUCGGCCCACAAAGCCUGCUGCUCCAUUCCUUUCUUUUCUUUUCUUUUUCCUUUUUCUCUGAAAGUGUACAAUGCCUCCCUUGGCACUGUUCAUCUUCAACCUCAGGCCAGCCGACUGAGCCCGAGCUGCUGCCGCCUCCCCCCUUUGAAUCCGCCUUCAUCGGUUGCUCCUAAAUUCGAUUGGAUGAGGGGAAUUUAUCUACCCGUUAUCCUCUAUCUUUUCCCUCAAAAAACCGGAUUUUAAUUCCUUGUAUUUUACCCGAAUCAAACUCGUUUAGAGUUUAUCUCUCCAACCAAACCAUCGGAUUUUCCAGAUUCGAUUCCUUUCAUUCCGUGUUCGAUCUCUUUAAUCCGAGCCUAUAAAUAGCAUCCCCUAGUAGUCCUCUUCCGUUUGCGUCAAGUCCAAGCCGCAGCAGUCGCCUAUAGCGCCGCCGCCGCGCAAACCCUAACACCGUCGCCGCCGUAGCCGUUUCAGCCGCGCCGCGCUGCUGCUGUGGUCGUCGCCACCGCCGCUUUCCGUCGCCAUCGUCGGGUUCGCCAGGUGGAGGAGCAUCCUGUCCACCCCUUUGCUGCUGCUGCAUCUCGCCGGAGCGCCGUCGCCGACGUUGACCCGAGCCGAGCCGCCAUCGGACCUCGUCGUCGGUCGUCGUUUGUCGUAGUUCUUUGCUUCGUUGAGUUCGCAUCGUCGUCCUCUUCAUGUUGGUGUCUUCGGAAAGCACAACCGAGCUCUUUAGCACUGGUAACCUCGUGGUCCUGUGCCAUGGCCGGCGAUGAUGUCGUGAUGACAUCAUAAUUUCCUUUUUAUUAGUUUUUCUGUAUUAGAUGAAAAUCGAUUAAACUUCAGAAAUUCAUAACUAAAUCAUCGUAACUCGGAUUCAAGUGAUUCAAGUUGCUAAAUUCAUCUAAUAUCGAGAUCUACAUGUAAAAAAUAUCCACAUGUACUGUUUAUGCUUGUUUUUGUACUGUUUUGUUGAUUUUGUUCAUUUGCUUUAGUUUCCAACGUUCCGGAGGAGAGCGUUUACGUUGAGGAAGGUUCAGAAGCGUUUGAAGAAGGUCAAGGCAAGUCACACAGAUCCCAAACAACCCUUUGAGCAUGUUGAACCCGUUUAAAGCUAAUGUUUUAUUUCCACUUAUGCAUUAUUUUCGAAUGUCAUCGGGUUGUGAGCCUUUCCCAUUCAAUUAUGGCUAACAAUGACUUUAUUUUCCUAUGGGUAAUAAAUUGAUUAGCUAGAAUCUUAUACAUUGGUUUGGUUCAACUAAAUGCUAUAUAUCUAAUUGCUUAGCCAUGCUUAGAAACAUUUGCUCAUUAAUGGGAUGAAUCAUAUUACAUUAUUACUUAUGGUUAGAUUUAAUGGUAGCUUACGAUGGUUAAUCGUGUUAUGAUAAUUAAUUUAUCAUUAAAACCUGAUUAAAGAUGGGUUGUGAGUACAUGGUUUUGAUGGUCGUGCUCAUGAUAAUUAAAGACUGGUUUGCGAGCUACUGUUGUGAAACAUUAACCGUGCCAACCACAAGCCAGCGUGGGCAACGGCUUUACCUUUUGUAUAGUAUGGUUCAUUAUGGGGUGCUAGACUGAGAAGCAGCGAGAAGUCCGUGGGGGUCGCUGGGGAGUACAUGCCUCUGGUUGUAGGGGGGUGAUUAUGAUCCAGGAUUGGUGCACUAUGGUGAGUUGUGUUGUGCGAGGGGUACUGUCACAGUUCCUUUCUGAGGUACUGUGGUGGUAUUGAGGCGCAUGGUGACAUGUCGUGGAGCUGUCUUGUGGGUACAGUGGUACAUCUCUGGCCAGAGUAAAACUAUUCGAAUAGCCAUGCCCGCGGUUAUGGGCAGGUCUUACAAUGUUUUUCGUGAUUGGUCUCACACUACUCAUUAAUGAUAAUACUGUGAUAAUUAAUUUGACUCCUGGUUUGGAAUGGUAUAUUCCUCGUAUGGUGGUUUGAUUUGUACAACCAGGGUUGGUUGUUCAGAUGAGGUUGGGCCUAUGCAACACGGGUGUGUUGUAUAGUGUUUAUUUAAUAUUGCUUAAUUACUUAACUGUUUUACUAUUCUCUCAAAUGUUUAUUAAAUGCUGUAUAUGCAAAUGAGUUUUAUUAUGCCAUCCUUUGCUAUCCUGUGCACUUGCAUAUUUGCUGUGUGGCUUGUUGAGUAUGUCAUAUGCUCAUUCGUGCAAUAUUCAUUCAUCAGAGGAGGAGUACUUCAGUGAAGAUGAUGGUCAGGAGGAUUAGGCUUUGUUCGGGUCAAGUUGCUUGUGGAGUGGAGUCGCCAUAGCUGUUUAGUCUUUUGUUUUUUCUCUGCUGCGUAGAAUUUUAUUCUUUUGAGAGGAACUAUCCACCUCUGUAAUAAUUUAUUAUUUUGCGAAUAUGAAUUAGUAGUUUGAUAGUUCUCUAUUAUCAAUUUGUUAUUGUGUGCCUCGGCUGAUUCCUGGACGAGGAUUUAACACACAUGUAAGCGUUUGGAAUUUUGGAUAGAUAUUCCGGGCGUGACAUAUAUCCUAGUACGUUGUCGUAACUAAUUACCAUCAUCGGUACUCUACAAUUUUACUGUGUGCUUACAUUCGAUCCGAAGCUACUUUGUUUUUAAGAUAUAAAUGGAGCGUAUAAAGGAUGUCCAUCCUUUUAUUCCAAUAAGAACAAACACAAAGCACAUAUGGCAAAUACUAAAUCCACUACAACAAAAUCAUAGAUCAUACAAAGCACGUAAAGAGGUAGCACUCCACAUUGAUUCUUCAUCCACUACUUAAACAAGCGCAUAUGAAAGGCCGCAUAUGCAUGAUCAUUGUGAAUAUGACAUGCCCUUGUCGAGCAAACGUGUCACUUCUUCAUGCAAAUAUGUUGUUUCAAGCAACAUCAAUAUAUGGUUACAAAAUUUUAAACAUUGGUAUAUUAAUGACUUUCAUAUAUGCAUAUUAAUAUCAAUUGAAAAACAUCUUGUUGUCCAUCACUCCUAACGAGAGGUAGUGUACAAGACAUUAUUUAGUUGAGCUCUCGCUCACUUUGCAUCACAGAAGUAUAACCUAGACAUAGCUAAUUCAGUAUAGAACCAAAAAGUGCAGCAGCAACAAUGAGGGUGAAAACUAGAAAGAAGGAUUUAUUAUGUUCCUUAGUUUAUUCAACCACGAAAGAGUGACUUAAAAAAUGUACACUUCUUCCAAAGUGAAAAUUAUGAGAUGUCUUACUUAUGGAAUGCUCCUACACACUGAGAUUGUUCUUGCUAACCUCUCGUUUCUAUGAGAAGUUUAUUCUAACAUAGCAAGUCGAUAGUUUACUACAAACAAAAUGGAUAAUAAACCUAAUGUUUCAACAAAACUACAGGAACUCACGCAUGAUGUACCCGAAGGAAACAGGUUUUUUGACACACUACAAAUAUGUGGUAGUCCUUUUCCAUCUCGAAAACGAAUCAACGCUGUGUUUCGAAUCAGCUGUUCCCAACAUACGAAUUGCGCACAGAAAACGUAGCGCUCCAUUAGAACGUGAUUAAUUAAGUAUUAGCUAUUUUUUUUUUCAAAAAUAGGUCCAUAUGAUUUUUUUAAGCAACUUUUGUAUAGAAACCUUUUGCAAAAAAUACACCGUUUAGCAGUUUGAAAUGCUUGCGCGCGGAAUACGAUGGAGAUGGGUUGGGAACCCUGGAUUCCAAACACAGCCCAAGUCUAUCCAAAAAGUUUAGACAAGAAAACACGUAACAAGUUGGUUUACAGAAAUACGAAUUAGAUCAAUCCUGCACUACAAGUAGAGCAAAAUGGUGAUUUCUUCUAAAUCUCUCGAAUGGUGAUUUAAGAGUUCAGUGCAAACCUAAUCCUUGCCAUAAACAAACGUUCGGUACCGCAUCAACGGAACAACAAAAAGCACCAGGCGUACCAUAAUUUUUUCAUUCUUGUUGAAAUUUUUAAUUUAAGAUGCAUGAGGCCACACGACCUUAAUGUUCAAGGUGUCAUGCAUUAGUGAAAUAAUAGCUCACAAAACGCAAUAAAUAUAGCUAGAUAACGGUUGCAAUCCUUACCAAACUAACAUAUAAAGUGAGCGAUGAGUCAUAUCAUUAUCUCCCUAGCCUGCUAAUCAUCAUGUACACCAUCCGAUCCCAAAAAUUACAACUUCUAGGGAUGAACCUGGACAUGGUUUAGGGUUUAGGGAUGAAUCUGGACAAAUGAUUGUUCAGGUUCAUCCCUAGAUGUUGGUUUCUCCUUACGGGACGGAGGGAGUAUAUGUGAUGGAUACCAAAGUAACUUUCAUGAUGAAACCAAAGGGGAUUUGUUGGGGCACCUAAUAGAACAUCUGUCCAAAUGCCACGACUCACUUAGAUCCUAAUAGGACAUCCAAGAAAAUCUAACACUCUAAAGCAACCGAUGAGGAAUUGAAAGAAAAUACGUGCCAUCGCAUCUGUAAAUAGACAAGCGCAAAGGAAACCCUCCUCAUCGUUCACACAGUUCAAGCAUUAUACAACAAAAUAGAAAGAUCUAGUGUCCCGUAGCAAUGAAGAUCCUUUUCGUCUUUGCGCUCCUUGCUAUUGCUGCAUGCAGUGCCUCUGCACAGUUUGAUGUUUUAGGUCAAAGUUAUGGGCAAUAUCUGCUACAGUCGCCUCUCCUGAUACAGCAACAGGUGCUUAGCCCAUAUAAUGAGUUCGUAAGGCAGCAGUAUGGCAUUGCGGCAAGCCCCUUCUUGCAAUCAGCUGCGUUUCAACUGAGAAACAACCAAGUCUGGCAAUAACUUGGGCUGGUGGCGCAACAAUCUCUCUAUCAGGACAUUAACAUUGUUCAGGCCAUAGCACAGCAGCUACAACUCCAGCAGUUUGGUGAUCUCUACUUUGAUCGGAAUCUGGCUCAAGCUCAAGCUCUGUUGGCUUCUAACGUGCCAUCUAAAUAUAGGAUAUACCCUAGGUACUAUGGUGCACCCAGUACCAUUACCACCCUUGGCAGUGUCUUGUAAUGAGUUUUAACAGUAUAGUGGUUCGGAAGUUAAAAAUAAGCUCAGAUAUCAUCAUAUGUGACAUGUGAAACUUUGGGUGAUAUAAAUAGAAAUAAAGUUGUCUUUCAUAUUUAAAUACCAUGCCUCUAUAAGGAUAUAUCCUAGUACGUUGUCGUGACUAAUUACCAUCAUCGGUACUCUACAAUUUUACUGUGUGCUUACAUUCGAUCCGAAGAUACUUUGUUUUUAAGAUCAAUCUUUCGAGCUUCAAGCCGAUCGAUAUUUGACUUGAUCGGGCCUUGAGACAGCUGAUCAAGCUUGGACUUCUCUACAUGCAGAAGCUGCCGAUUGUGCUGGAUUGUAGCUUCAAUAUCUUUGCGUUCCCGGCGAUCGACUAAUCUCUGCCUAGCCUUCUCCAGCUUGAAUCGGUGUUGCUCAAGGUAAACAGCUGGAGUAAGGGCAUCGGCUAGUUCAUCUGGGAGUAGAGCUUGGAUGUCUGUAAACCUUACCCGGAUCGAGCCACAGUUGGUCACCAAGUUGUCUAGUGAUGUUUCUAGCCGAUGAGAAAUAUCUUCCAGUGUUUUUCUCACAUCAUCGGAUAGGGGAGCUAAGGCUUUGCUUGAAGUAUCUUCUUCUGCUUCAUCAACGUAAUCUCUGUCACGACCGAGAAAAAUACAUUUUCCCGAACGCUAGUGUAUUAAUCCCCGUCACAGGAAAAGCCGGGGUACACCACACAAACAUGGUACAAAAGGCACAUCUUUAUUAUAUCGAUAAUAUUUAUAUUAUUACAAAGGCACUUAAGGCCUGACAAUCAAAAAUAAACAGCAGCGGACUAGCGGGCCUACGGCUCCAUCUUCACAGGCGCUCAACUAGGGUAUAAGCCAGGACUCCACCUAAGACUUCUUCUCCAAAGCUUCUCUUACUGAAGGGGGGGAAAGAUUGAGCAAGAAUGAGCACAACCACAGUACUCAGCAAGCCACACCGGCUGAUGCAUGAUUAAUGCAAGGGGGUACAAGGGGUAAUAAUAUCGGGGUUAAGUUUUGCAGUAAACAGCAUUAAAAGUCACUUAGUUGCUCAAAGCUACUUUGUAAACACGGUUCUAGAGCUAUACAAUAUUAUUAAUCAAGGCCGUGAACCCACACGAACCUGCCUUAACCCAAGGCCUACGAUGAUUCAGACCGAACUGGCAACCCGACCCUGGGUCCCAGCUCGUCCCAAGCCAACCCAGGCCAACCAUUCCACAUUUUAGUUGUUAAGCAAAUUUUAAGAAUUAAAACACUAACUUGGGUACAUUGCUAGGCUUGCCCAUAACCGAGGGCGCGGCUAUUCGAAUAGGUUAUACUCUGAUCAGAGGUGUACAUCUUUACCCACAAGACACAUCUUCCUCACGUGUAACCACGUGCCACAUACCACCACGGUAUACGGACGGAAGACGUGACAUAGUUCCCAACCCAUCCUAGCCAUAAACAAGAGUACCGACCCAACCCCACCUACGGCCGGAACCCCCGGGACAGGUAGGCAGGACUGAGCCCCCAGCAGCAGGACACCGGCCCUGUGCCAUGACAUCUCGACUACCGGGCCGCAGCUCGUGUAGCCUUCAUUUGUCCUAGAGAUGUCCAUCGACACCCGACUUCGUCCAUCUCCAUCCGUGUACUUUUGUUUAUAACCAGACUAAGCCACAAACUAAGCCUUACCCACUAGACAUGUGGAAGUACGGUAGUGCUUUGCAACAGAGGCCCGAGCUUAAUCCUUAUAUUGGCCAGGGUGCUACUUCCCACAACUAGCAUGCACCCAAACCCCACCGAAAAACAGGUUUUAGGGGCUUUGAAAGAGGAAGAGAGGGGUAUGUCCAAUUCCACCAUAAGCCAACCAUUCCAUAGUAUCCAAGAGAUAUGAAUAUUCCCAAAGUCUAAAGUUAUAAAAACCACCUAAUGUUGUCCUAUUAAUCAGCGAAGCAUCUACCUAAAUUCAUACUAGUGGAACCAUGAAUAGAGUACCCACUAGUUGGGGUUUUGUUUAUUCUAGGGUGAACAAGGUAAUAAUAACAAUAGCAAUAAUAAUGUCUUAACAAAGGUAAAUAGGCAUGGCUAAAUAAAACAGUGAUAACGCGGGAAUUUAAAUAAAGCGGUAAUGCAUUAAUUUAAAUCAAAAUAAUUUUAUAAACUGGGAUUCAAUAUGCUCAAGGAUGAUGUGACUUGGCUUGCUCACUUUCCCAAACGUCAGCUUCAACUUCCACGAAGAGCGGAUCUUCCGAAGGUGCAGCGUCUACACGACCAACGGAAAAGAAAAGGCUUUUACUCUAAUAAACUCCAUAUAACAAGCAGAAACAAAGCACAAAAAUGGGUUCUUGACUUUUUAAGGAAAAAUUAGAGACUUGAACGGUCCAAUUCCGAGUUCAAAUGGCCAAGUUAUGGUCAUUUGAAGUUUAUAUGCUCUUUAAAUGAAUAUUUGCGAAUUUCUUCAUUUAAAUUCUAAUUUAAAAAAAAGUUUAUUGCGUCAGCCGAGGGGGAGCGGCGCGCGGACCGGGUUCACGGGAGUGGGGCCCACGCGGCAGCCUCACGGUCCACGGUGGACCGGGUGCACCCGGGCUCGCACCGGCCAGCGCCGUGGGCCCCACGCGUCAGCCGCACCCAAGGGCGCGGGCGGCUGACGGCCGGGUCCCACGCGGCGGCCACUUGGCGCUCCCGAGGGCGGCCACGCCGGCGCGAUCGGCCGGAGGCGGCGCGCCUGCGCCCCGAUGGUCGCCGCCGGCGACCAUAGGCACGGCGGAGCGGCGGCCGAGAGAGGGGAGGGAAAGGGGAAAACGAAGAGGCGGUCCACGGCUCACCCUAGGCCGACGGCGACGACGAAAAGGCAGCCGGAGAGGAGGAAGGCGGCGGCGCGGCUCGGGUCGACGGGGACGGCGGCGCUCCGGCGGUUGGCGACCGAAACAGAGGGGUGGACGAGGUCGGCGAGGAUGCGGCGAAGCCGAAGGAGGCGGCGCCGAGGUGGGAGGCGCUCCGGGGCGACGACGGCGGCGGACCGGAGCUCGGCGGCGACGGCGGAGAGAGAGAGCGACGUCGCGAGCUCGAAUCCGGCGAGGAGGAAGGGCUGCGAGAGGCGGAACCGGACGGAGGAGGUGCGGGGAGGGUUUAAAUAGGGUUGGAAGGGGGAGAGAGCGGCCGGGGAGGAAGGAAACCGCCACGGGAGGUCGGCCGCCAUCAGUGGCGCCGGCGAGAUUUGCGGGGGCAAAUCCGCCCGUUUGAACGCGAGAGAGAGAGGGAAAAAUGGGGGAAAGAGAGAGGGGAUCACAGGGAAUAUUUCCCCCCGCUUUAUUGCACGCGGGGACGACGGGAGGCGGAGGGAUUCGCGGCGGCGGCGGCGCUAGGGCGCGGGCGGCGGGAGCGGCGGGAGGAUAGGGAUGACAGGUGGGCCCCACCCGUCAGCGAGGGUGGCGGGUGGGCCCGUCCGUCAGCGGCGUGCGCGCGGGGAGAGGCCGAGUGGGCCGCGGGGAGAGGAGGGAGAGGGGAGGGAGAUUGGCCGGGCCAGCCCAAAAGAGAGAGAGGGAAGGAAAAAUAGAGGGAGGGAGAGAGGACUUUGGCCGCGGGCCGAGAGAGAGAGAGAGGUCUUUGGGCCAGACUUGGCCCAAAGGGAGGAGGGGGAUUUAUUUUUUUGUUUUUCUUUUUAGGAAACUUUGAUAAUUGUUGUUGUUGUUUAAUAAAUAUUUUUGGUGCUCUGAAAAUUCAAGUAAAAUUUGAGGUUUCCUUUUAGACCAAGGAGAAUUUAACAAAAAUUCUCCGGACCACAUCCGAAUUUUUCUGGCACGUAUUUUAGUGUUUGUCAAUUUCUUUUCGAAUUUUAAUUAAUUCUAUUAUUCCUUUUAGAAAAUGAUUUUUAUUUUGGGAUGAAUUUAUCAGGACGUGACAAUCUCUGAUGUCAAAAGAGAAGAGAUCGGCUAGAACCUGCAGAUACAAUUCCAGAAAGAGUAUGAGCUGAGUAAAAUGUAGCCGAUCAGAUGGUUGACACAAAGGAAAACUUACUGGGAUAGCAGGGGCAGCUGGUUGUUCUUCUUCCUCGAUGUGAUGACUCCCCACAGCCGAUAGAGUCUGGUCACUUGACGGUUGCUGUACAGGAGGAGAAGAAGGAGGAGGCUGUAGAAUAGACAAGUGUUAUAUAGAGCCAGAUGAGUUUGAUUAAGUAAAAUAAUUAAAGACAUCUUACUGGUGGAGCCGACUUGACAAUCGUAGCUGUUGACUUUUUCUUCACAGCAGUUUUCUUUUUCUACAACCAUAAAGUCUAUAAGUAAUUAGCAGAAGAGGGAAGUAAUUUUAGAAGAAGUCAAAGAGAGAUACUUACCCUUGUAAAAUGAACGGGGGCAGAAGGUGUUGGAGGCGUUUGCUUGGGUGAAGCCGAUGGUGUUCUUUCUGUGUCACUCAUUUCGGCUACAGCCUGGUCAACAUCUUCACCAAUUUCCUCUUCAUCUAAGGCUUGUUCAAUAGAUGGAUCCAAGGCAGGCAGAUCAUUAGCCGGCUUAUCUGUUGGCUUGGUUUUCUUGAAUUUGGCCUUUUUCUUUGGAGCUAAGACCAAGGUACUCACGGCUGAUGAUCUGGUUUUCCUUUUCUUGCCUGCAUCGGCUGGUUCCCUGGUUAGGCCGUGAAGGAGAGUUGAAGUCUUGGGGGCAUGGUAGCCGAUAACAAGGGGAGAUAGUUCACCUUCAUUCGGAAUUAGACCUGAAGCAUAUUCAAUAUUCUUGCCACUGUUACUUUGAUGAGGAGGGGAGGACUCUGUUGUCUGCAGAACAGGAGCAAAAGAUACAUCUGAGCAGCUCAGCUGAUAGCUUUGCUCCAGCAUCGGUUGGUGUGGAUGCAUAUUCUCCAUAUGACAUACAUCUGCGAUGGGUGCGUUCUUCUCCGUCAUCUUCCACAAUCGGCUCUGGCAAUGGGAAUUCAGCUUCUGUUACAGAUGGCCGAUUGUCACGUCCUGAUAAAAUAAUCCCGAAAUAAAAAUCAUUUUCUAAAAGGAAUAAUAGAAUUAAUUAAAAUUCGAAAAGAAUUUGGCAAACACUAAAAUGCGUACAAGAAAAAUUCGAAUGUGGCCCGGAGAAUUUUUGUUAAAUUCUCCUUGGUCUAAAAGGAGCCCUCAAAUUUUACUUGAAUUUUCAGAGCACCGGAAAUAAUUAUUAAGCAACAAAAACAAUUAUCAGAGUUUAUUAAAAAGAAAAAGCUAAAAAUAAUCCUCCUUUUCCUUUGGGCCAAGUUUGGCCCAAAGUCCUCCCCCUCUCUCUCUCGGCCCGCGGCCAAAGUCUCCGUCUCCUCCCUCUCUUUCCCUCCUCUCCCGGGCCUCCCCUCCCCCUCCCGGCCCACUCCCUCCUCCUCCUUCCUCCCGGCCUGCCUCGGCCCAGCAGCCCGGCCCAAGCCGCAGCGCCCUCCUGCCCUAGCCGCACGCGCACGUGCGCCGCACGCGCGUUGAGCGCGCCUCCCGCGUGGGUCCCGCCUGUCAGGCGCGCCCCCAACCUCCAGCCGCCGGCCUCCUUCCUCUCUCUCCCGUGAACCCUAGCGCCAUUUCCUCCUCCAAAUCCGCCCCGAAUCCAACCGUUCUUUCCAAAUUGAUUGGGGGGAAUUAAUCCCCAUUCCUUCCUCUUUGAUUUCCCCCGUUUUCCCCCUUGAAUGGCUCCCCCAAUCGCCGGGAACGGACACGCCAACUCCGGCCACCUUCCAUGGCCACCGGCCGCCAUUUCCGCCGCCGUUCCCCGCUCCUCCCGUGCUCGGCUCGCUUCCCUCCGCUAUAAAACGGAAUCCCCUCGCUCCGUUCUAUCGUUUUAGCCCCCUCCCGCGAUCUCCCGUGGUCCCUAGCCACCUCCCCGCCGUCGUCCCCUCUCUCCCGUGCCGCCGGCCGUCUUCAGCCGCCCCUGCCGCCGCGUUAGCACGCCGGCCGGCUGUGCCGUCGCCUCCUCCAGCGUCGCAGCCGCCUCCUCUUCGCCGGCCUGCCCUCUGUUUCCCGCGAAGACCGCCGGAGGCGUGUCCCCGCCGGCAACCGGUGGCAUUGCCGCCACCCACUGCCUCCAGCCGCCCCUGCCGCGCCGCUCAAGUGCGGGCCGGCUACGCCGUCUCCUCCCUCGGCGUCGCCGCGUCGACCUCCACCCCGGCCUACCCUCUGAUUCGUCCGGAGACCGCCAUCGCCCACGCCGGCCUCUCCAUCCUCUUCGUCGCCGGCGUCCCUUCGGCCGCCCCUCCCUCCUCCCCGGCUCGUCGGCUCGCAGCGCCACCACCACCUCCGGCAUCGCAGUGGCAAGGUCGCCCUCGGCCUCGCCUCCCCUUCGACCGAACCCCGCCAGUGUUCGUCGUCGUCGUCAUCGUUCCUCCUCGCCGGCUUGUCGUCUCGCGGCGCUGCCUCCGUCGUCGGCAUCGCAGCGGCGUGUUCCGCGCCGUCCUCGUCUCCGUGCAGCCGCUGCCGGCUGCCCUCGUCACCCCCUCGCCGGCCCCGGUCGUCGUCGUCGUCGUCCUCUCGUCGUUCCCGGUCAUCGUGGCGUUCGUCCCUCCGUCGAGCCGUUCUCGUCCGUCCUCGGUGUUUCGUCAAGGUCGCUGUAGCCGUCGUCGUCUUCGUCCUCGGCUCCGCGUCAUCAAGCCUCGUGCCGGCCGCGUCUCGCCUUCGUCCAAGGAUCGCCGCCGAAGUCAUCCCCUCGCCGUUCGUCUCCGUAGUUCCCGGCCGCCUCCGCCGCGCCCGUUCGUCGUUGUCGUUCCCACGCCUCGUCGCGUGGUGGUAAGGAUCCCUCUCCCUCGCUUCCCCGUCCUUGUUCUUUCGGUGUCGCCCGUGCUCGUUGUGCGGUUGUCGGCCCCGGUACCCGUAUACCGGUGUCGGUAGUCGUCCAUGUGUGCGUGUGGUGACCGUGUUAGUGUGCCCGCUCGGUAGCCACUUGGUUUCCACGUGUGCAACCCGUGUGGUGUCUAGUGGAGUCCGUUUGUCGGCCACUCGCCUCGGUUGACACACGGGAUCCGCUUCCGUCGACCCGUGGACCGUCUCUGUAUACUCGGUCUACCGCGGUCCUUUUUGUUGACAUGUGAGGUCCGCAUGUCAACGGCGCAGCCUUUCUGUCUUUUCUAGGCUAGCGCUUACACAUGUUUUAUAGUUGCAAAGCUUAAUUAUAAUAAUCCGCAAAUCUCCAUAUAACAGCACUAAACUUCGGAUGAUCAUAUCUUGGUCAUACGAACUCCGAAUCGACCCGUUCAAGUCUCCUAAUGCUUGUUAUAACCUAAAGAACUGUGUGCUUUCUUUUUAUGUAUUGUUAUUGCUUCUUUAUAGGCUUGUAGCUUUGCUUGUGUGCUUCGCGUAGCUUUCGUCGUUCCGGAGGUUCCCGAAGCGUGGUUCGUGGUCGUCGCCGAAGGUUCGGAAGGCCGUUCUCUCUGAGCAAGGCAAGUCACAUCAUCCUUGAGCAUAUUGAAUCCCAGUUUAUAAAAUUAUUUUGAUUUAAAUUAAUGCAUUACCGCUUUAUUUAAAUUCCCGCGUUAUCACUGUUUUAUUUAGCCAUGCCUAUUUACCUUUGUUAAGACAUUAUUAUUGCUAUUGUUAUUAUUACCUUGUUCACCCUAGAAUAAACAAAACCCCAACUAGUGGGUACUCUAUUCAUGGUUCCACUAGUAUGAAUUUAGGUAGAUGCUUCGCUGAUUAAUAGGACAACAUUAGGUGGUUUUUAUAACUUUAGACUUUGGGAAUAUUCAUAUCUCUUGGAUACUAUGGAAUGGUUGGCUUAUGGUGGAAUUGGACAUACCCCUCUCUUCCUCUUUCAAAGCCCCUAAAACCUGUUUUUCGGUGGGGUUUGGGUGCAUGCCAGUUGUGGGAAGUAGCACCCUGGCCAAUAUAAGGAUUAAGCUCGGGCCUCUGUUGCAAAGCACUACCGUACUUCCACAUGUCUAGUGGGUAAGGCUUAGUUUGUGGCUCAGUCUGGUUAUAAACAAAAGUACACGGAUGGAGAUGGACGAAGUCGGGGGUCGAUGGACAUCUCUAGGACAAAUGAAGGCUACAUGAGCUGCGGCCCGGUAGUCGAGAUGUCAUGGCACAGGGCCGGUGUCCUGCUGCUGGGGGCUCAGUCCUGCCUACCUGUCCCAGGGGUUCCGGCCGUAGGUGGGGUUGGGUCGGUACUCUUGUUUAUGGCUAGGAUGGGUUGGGAACUAUGUCACAUCUUCCGUCCGUAUACCGUGGUGGUAUGUGGCACGUGGUUACACGUGAGGAAGAUGUGUCUUGUGGGUAAAGAUGUACACCUCUGAUCAGAGUAUAACCUAUUCGAAUAGCCGCGCCCUCGGUUAUGGGCAAGCCUAGCAAUGUACCCAAGUUAGUGUUUUAAUUCUUAAAAUUUGCUUAACAACUAAAAUGUGGAAUGGUUGGCCUGGGUUGGCUUGGGACGAGCUGGGACCCAGGGUCGGGUUGCCAGUUCGGUCUGAAUCAUCGUAGGCCUUGGGUUAAGGCAGGUUCGUGAGGGUUCACGGCCUUGAUUAAUAAUAUUGUGUAGCUUUAGGAUCGUCUUUAUAAAAUAGCUUUGGGCACCUAAAUGACUUUUAAAUGCUGUUUACUGCAAAACUUAACCCCUAUAUUAUUACCCCUUGUACCCCCUUGCAUUAAUCAUGCAUCUGCCGGUGUGGCUUGCUGAGUACUGUGGUUGUACUCAUUCUUGCUCAAUCUUUCCCACCCUUCAGUAAGAGAAGCUUCGGAGAAGAAGUCUUAGGUGGAAUCCUGGCUUAUACCCCAGUUGAGCGCCUGUGAAGACGGAGCCGUAGGCCCGCUAGUCCGCUGCUGUUUAUUUUUGAUUGUCAGGCCUUAAGUGCCUUUGUAAUAAUGUAAAUAUUAUCGAUAUAAUAAAGAUGUGCCUUUUGUACCAUGUUUGUGUGGUGUACCCCGGCUUUUCCUAGGACGGGGAUUAAUACACUAGCGUUCGGGAAAAUGUAUUUUUCUCGGUCGCGACACCGAUUGACAACCUUCAUGACUAUCAGGUUUAAUCAAGUUUGCAGCAGCCACCAUGGUCCACCUGCUCCAACUAUUGAGCCGACGGCUAUCUUAGCCGAUGCAUUGUUCAACAUUUGGUACAGAUAGCCGAGAAGGAUUUUGCCCAAAGGAAAUUCUUUCUUUGAUUGUAAGGCUUCGGCUACAAACUGCCAGUUGGUUGUAGGGCCACAACUGGAUCCACAGAAGAGGAACUUUUCCAGCCACAUGAGCAAGAAAGCUACAUGCUCUCGAGGGGUAACAGAUCCUUGGCCCAUAUAUGCCGCCACAUAGCUAGACCAGCCACCUAUGCUUUUGGUCUUUCACUCAAAUUGGUUCUUGGUGUUCAUACUCAUAGGGUUAGCCUAUGACGUUACAUCUAAUCCAGUAACCAUGGUGAUGUCAAUUAAAGUUGGAGUCAUCGGCCAUUGGUUGAAUAAGAAGGCAUUGAUGGUGUUGGACCAGAAGUAGGUGGCGGAAGUUAUCAGAGGUUCGUCCUUAGCAGAAUUGGCUAUGGCGAGAGCAAGCGCUUGGCCGAUUCCAAUCUCAUCCCAGUGAACAUUCUUAAUAGCCGAUACGCGUUGGUACCAGGUGGUCCAGAUCUUAUUAGGUGUAGGUUUUUCAAGAGAUGGCCAAGACUUGAAGGUAUUCAUCCAGUGACCCAGGUUAGGGUUGGCUAAUCUAAAGGGGAUCCGGUUGGUUUCACCGAUGAUGAACUCAGUGGGGUCAAGAUUGCCGAUUGGGCCAAGAAAAUAGUGGUUUUGGUGCGAAAGGCUAGGAACUGCGACUAGGUUGGAAAGAUGCUACAAAUCCAAAACAACCGAGAAAAAGAGAGCGAUGUAAGAUAGGAGAAAAUCGAUCUGCUGCUAAGAAAGGGGAUUUAGCCGAUUGGGACUUACCUCAGUGUACUCGACUGAUAGUGUAUCAGAUGGGUUGGUGGAGGACGACAUCGCUGCGGGUGGAAAUCUCGCCGGAGAUGAAGUCGCCUGGUAGUCGCUUUUGCAUCGGAGGAAUUGCCGGAGAGAAAGAGGAUAAAGUUUCGCUUGAGUGGUGAAAACGGAAGUCACGGUGUGAGAUUUCUCGUGGGUGACGGUUAGUAUUUAAAGCAUGGCAGUAACGGUCGGAAAACGGCAAAGUGCGAAACUUGCUCGGAGUCGAUUUACAGCAAAUCCGAAACAUUACCAAAUAUUCCGGACUUGGAGGGCAUGUGUUAACAACCAAAAUUGGUAAUAUCGGCAUCGGGAAAGAAGAUUAGAUCGAAGCAAAAUCGGAGGCGGAGAUCGAGUUCGAAAACAGAGCAGGAAUCGGCCGGAGUUAAGAUCGGCUACGAUAAGAUCGGCUGAGUCUGAGUCGGACUAGGUGGGCUGAUGUAGCCGAUCCCGACAAUACGACUUGAUGUGUGAUGUCAGGUUGGAUUGAGGUGCUUCAAGGUGAUUGCCGCACAUGGAUAGAGUCAUAAGGAGGCGAUUGUAUCUAUUAAUUAGAUGUUUUAUGUAAUUUCCUUAGAGAUACGUUUGGGCAAAAAGUCUGCCGCAAAGACUUAUGGUAUCUUAGAGUUUGUUAGAGAUAGUAGUCGUGUCCGUUAUGGACAUAUCUUGUAAUUCUCGGGUAUAAAUAGACCCGAGCCCUAUGUAACUUUUUAACACACACGUUCAAUACAAUUUCGGCGCAUCGUCAGCCUUUUGCUUUAGUUUUGUUUUGACGAGUUCUUGCUUUCGGGUUGAGCUGCAUCGGUUUCGAUGUUCAACAAGAGGUAAAACUUGUUAUGACGUUUUGUGUUCUCGGGAUUAGUGCUUCUAUCUUUAUGAUACUCUAAUCUUGUUUAUGUAAUUCGUCGAGUUAUCAUAUAUUUUACAUAAUCUCUGGCAAUAUCGCUAUCUAACCUACGAUCGGCUAACAUCUGUCGGUGGAGGGCAGCCGAUUAGGUUAGAUUCCGACGUUGAUUUAGAUUAUGUAAGAUGUCUACCACUCUAUGAAACUCCCAGCGGCUUGAUUGUCUAGAUAUUGUUCUUCUUUUCAUUCUUAAUGCUGCAUCAGCUUAGUUUGAUCUAUUAAGUCGUGCUUAGAAUAUCAAUCUCUAGCCUGCCUUCUGGUUGUCGAUUAGGGUAGUAUCGGAGUUUCAGCCGAUCUUACUUGAUUUAACUAUAUUUACUCUAUGUGCUUUGGUGAUACGUUAAAUCUGCCCUUUAGGUCAAGAUAUUAUCGCAUCUAAGUAUACUAAGCUUUUGUUUAGCAUAUUCUGCUUGUUUUAACAUCUUAAUAUAGAGUUGUAUCGGAGUAUUAGCCAAUACAUGCUAGAUCUAUCUGAUCGGCUAUGCUGUGAAUAUAUAUAGUUCAUUUAUUAAUGUAUAAUUCGAUCUAAGUGAUUUAUACUGUCUCGGUAUGGCGACCGAUCUAUCCCAAUCACUUGAUUUUAUGAAUACAUCGAUAUAAGAACUAUAUAUUGUUGAUAUCUACAGCCGAUCGGGUAGAUUUAGUUCUUUAUUACUUAUUUACAACUACCGAUCAAUUCACAUAUGACAUCGGCUCAAAGAUAAAUGAUAUGUCAUCGGCGCCUAGCCGAUCGACUAUCAUUUAUAGAUUUAACCGCGGUUUCUUUGCUUCUAUUUCUUGUUGAUUACAGGAUCAAAUCAACUGGCACGCUAGCAUACCCGAAGGCGAACUUUGGACCUGCACUGGAGUUAAGGAGAUCUCCCAGGCCUCGUGUUUUCUGUCAACACGCUUUUGGCACACCUGGUGGGACACUUGAGAAGUCAGAUAACAAUUCUUCCUCAUGGCUGAGAAACAACCACCAACACCAUCUAGCCCAGGCUCUGUUAAGGACAAGAUGCUGAAGUUAGGAUUGACUGACGUCCAUGAAGGAAACGUUGUGCCAAUCGAUCUAGAAAAAUUCUCACCUGAGCAGAAGAAAGAGUUUGAAGCAAUGUUUCAGCAAGUACGGGAUCAGUUCUUGAACUCAUUCAUGCAGACCCGCAAGGGGACACUUGUUCAGAAGUACAAAAUAAAAGUAAUUGCUGAUGAUCCUAGGACCAGCUCUGCUAAGGAUGGAGAUGGGAAACAAGCUCCAGACGGCUCGGCUCAGCCGAGUAUCAAAGGUGCUACUGACGACUCUCUAGGAAAUCAAGGCGACAAUUCUCAAGGAGUCCAUGGAGUACAAGGUGAUGGGACGCAUGGAGUUCAAGGCGAUGGUGCUCAGGGGCCGCAAGGAGGAAAUCUUAAUCAGAAUAAUAAUGUGGCACAGGAUUUUUUCAAUAACUUCCAAGAUCGGGUUGAUUACGCUGUGCAUCAUGCUUUGAUCAAUCAGUCUGGGGUAUUAGUCAAUACCUUAUCAAACAUGAUGAAGUCAAUAGCCGAUAGUUUAAUAGCUGAGCAUCAGGCUGUAGGCCCGGUUUAUUUGCAAGGAGGUGUCUUCCCAAAUUAUCGGUCUUUGAUCACCGAUGUUCAGCCAUCUACUCAGGUGGUUCCCUCAGUUGCACCCGCGACUCAGCCGACGGCGCCGGCAUCAACUCCCCUACGUGCUACAUCAGCUAUGGCGCCAGGACAGCCGAUGAACCCUCGGUUGUUAAUGAGAGAGCAUACACAGCAUAGUGGGCAGGUUGCGAAUUGGCCAACCCAAGAUCAGGUUGCUGCUAUGUUUUUGCCACCUCAACAUGUGGUCGAUCCAGUACAGCAGCAGCCGAUUCAGCAGACACCCCCAAUUCAGCAGGUUGUACAACCAAUCCAGCAACAGGUCGUGUAACCAGUUCAGCAGAAACCACCAAGGCAGCAGCCUCUGCAGCCGAUCCAACAGACUCUGUUAAGACAGCAAAUCGUUCAGCUGAUCCAGCACCAACGUUCAAUAAACGCAUCGGCCGGGUUUGCAACGCCUGGUGGUCAGCCUGUACAACAAUUUGUAAACCAAGUUGUCCCAGAACAUUUGGUUCACCACGUACAGCCGGAUGGCACAGUAAUACCUCAAGUUGUCCCUGAGCACUUGGUACACAACAUCCAGCCGAACCUUCACAAUUACCAAGGAGGUAACUUGAAUUAUCAAUAUCAGCCUCCUUCUCCGCAAGUCCAAUAUCAGCCAGGGGGAUUGGCUCAACCUCAGUUUGCGUCUUCAUACGGUCAGUUCGAGCCCAUGCAGCAACAGUCACAAGGAGCAUUUCAGCAACGACCGUGGGCUGAUGUGAUUGCUGACGUAAUGAGGGAACAGUUCGGGCUCAAACCAACAGAGACUGAAAGCUUGUAUCGGCAGCCUUACCCUGAGUGGUUUGAGAGAGUUCCUCUCCCCAAUCAAUUCAAAGUUCCGGAUUUCUCCAAAUUCUCGGGACAAGAUGGUGUGUCAACUUAUGAGCACAUUAGCCGAUUCUUGGCCUAGUGUGGUGAAGCAUCGGCUGUAGACGCUCUGAAGGUUAGGUUAUUCUGGUUAUCUUUAUCUGGAUCGGCUUUUACUUGGUUUUCCUCUUUGCCGUAUGGGUCGAUCAAUAGUUAGGCCGAUUUGGAGAAGCAAUUCCACAACUAUUUCUACAGUGGGGUUCAUGAGAUGAAGUUAUCUGACUUAACAGCGAUUAAGCAGCGGCAUGAUGAACCUGUGCACGAGUAUAUUCAGAGGUUUGGGGAGAUGAGGAACAAAUGCUUCAGCUUGAGUUUAACUGAUGCCCAGUUAGCCAAUCUGGCCUUUCAGGGUAUGAUUGCUCCGAUUAGGGAGAAAUUCUCGUCUGAAGACUUUGAUAGCUUGUCACAUCUGAUACAGAAGGUAACCUUGCAUGAGCAUAGGUUUGCAGACGUUAGGAAUAGCUCUAAGAAGGUUAAUCAUGUUUGCCCGUACAUGUAUGGGUCGGAUGAUGAUGAGGACGAUUCUGAAAUAGUUGCAGCUGAAUGGGUCAGGAGUAAAAAGGUCAUACCAUGCCAAUGGGUAAAAAGUUCUGGAAAAGAGGAGAAGUAUGACUUUGAUAUUACUAAAGCUGACAAGAUCUUUGAUCUGCUACUCCGAGAGAAGCAAAUUCAACUUCCUGCUGGUCAUACAAUCCCAUCGGCUGAGGAAUUAGGCAAAAAGAGAUAUUGCAAAUGGCAUAAUUCUAGGUCUCAUUCUACUAACGAUUGCAAAGUUUUUAGACAGCAGAUUCAGGUGGCCAUUGAGGGGGGAAAGAUUAGGUUUGAUGAUUUCAAAAAGCCGAUGAAGGUCGAUGGUAAUCCUUUUCCGGUUAACAUGGUGCAUACAGCUGGCCAAACAGCCGAUAGGGUCCGUACAAAGGGGUUUCAGGUGAAUUCAGCAAAGAUUAUCAACAAAUAUCAGAGGAAGUAUGACAAGCAGCAGGAGAAGCAUUAUGAAGAAUACGAUGAUGGUUUUGAUCCUCAUUAGGGUUGUGAGUUCUUUAGAUUCUGCUGGAAUGAAGGAAUGAGGUUGCAUCUAUUGAAAACUGCCCUGGGUGCAGUGAUAUCGUCGAGAGCUCAAGCCGGUCAUAUAAUAGGGGUAAUCGGCUAAGGCAGACAAGAGUUUCUGUUCAUCAAAGAUUGGGUCCGGUAAAUCAAGAUCGUGGCCAAGAGGACGAUGUCGUCAGGAAGAACCAAUGGUGUCCUUUUGGUAUUUUCACGAAGAAUCAAAAGAGAAGGGUGUCACGACCGGAAAUAACCCAACAGGCGUUCCUUACGUGCGUGCAUUAAUCCUUGUCCCAGGAGGCAAGGUACACCAAAAGUUGAUACAAUUCAGAGUUUAACAAGCGGAAGCGUAAAGAGUUAAUUUAUUACAUGGGCAGCGAAGGCCCAGCACACACAGAGACAAACGAGAAACAGCGGAAGACUAGGGCGACGACCACAGGCACUUGACGGCAGGCACGAGCUAGACACCAAAGCCUUCAUCCUCCAGGAACUCCUCUUCUGGGGUUGGGAAAAAUUGAGCAAGACUGAGUACAACCACCGUACUCAACAAGACACACCCACAAGUGCAGAAUAAAUGCAAGGGAGUACAAGGGAGUUAUAAUAUAAAGGGUUAGGGUUUGCAGUAAACAGCAUUUAAAGAUAUUUAGUUGCUCAAAGCUAUUUUGUAAACACGAUUCUAAAACUAUACAAUAUUAUUUAUCAAGGCCGUGAACCCACACGAACCUGCCUUAACCCAAGGCCUACGAUGAUUCAGACCGAACUGGCAACCCGACCCUGGGUCCCAGCUCGUCCCAAGCCAACCCAGGCCAACCAUUCCACAUUUUAGUUGUUAAGCAGGUUUUAAGAAUUAAAACACUAACUUGGGUACAUUGCUCGGGUUGCCCAUAACCGAGGGCGCGGCUAUUCGAAUAGGUUUUACUCUGAUUAGAGGUGUACAUCUUUACCCACAAGACACAUCUUCCUCACGUGUAACCACGUGCCACAUACCACCACGGUAUACAGACGGAAGACGUGACAUAGUUUCCAACCCAUCCUAGCCAUAGACAAGAGUACCGACCCAAUCCCACCUACGGCCGGAACACCCGGGACAGGCAGGCAGGACUGAGCCCCUAGCAGCAGGACACCGGCCCUGUGCCAUGACAUCUCGACUACCGGGCCGCAGCUCGUGUAGCCUUCAUUUGCCCUGGAGAAUGUCCAUCGACCCCCGACUUCAUCCAUCUCCAUCCGUGUACUUUUGUUUAUAACCAGACUGAGCCACAAACUAAGCCUUACCCACUAGACAUGUGGAAGUACGGUAGUGCUUUGCAACAGAGGCCCGAAGACCGGUCCUUAUAUGGCCGAGGUGCUACUAUCAAAACCAUGCACCCCGAGCCCAGCCUAAAACCAUUUUUGGGGAUUUUGAAUAGAGGGGGAGGUGUGAAUCCAAUUCCACAAUGAUCCAACAAUUCCAGUGUGUCCAGGUGAUAUGAAUAUUCCCAAAGUCUAGAGUUGUAAAACCACCUAAUGUUACCUAAUUAAAAGUGAAGCAUCUACCUAUAAUCAUACUAGUGAUCCCAUGAGUAGAGUGUCCACUAGUAGGGGUUUUGUUUAAUCUAGGGUGAACAAGGAAAUAAUAACAAUAACAAUAAUAAUAAGGUCAUAACAAAGGUAAAUAGGCAUGGCUAAAUAAAACAGUGAUAACGCGGGAAUUUUAAAUAAAGCGAUAAUGCAAUAAUUUAAAUCAACAUAAUUUUACAAACUGGGAUUCAAUAUGUUCAAAGAUGAUGUGACUUGCCUUGCUCGCUUUCCCAAACGCCGGCUUCAACUUCCACGAAGAGCGGAUCUUCCGAAGCUGCAGCGUCUACACGACCAACGGAAAAGAAAAGGCUUUUACUCUACUAAACUCCAUAUAACAAGCAGAAACAAAGCACAAAAAUGGGUUCCUGACUUCUUAAGGAAAAAUUAGAGACUUGAACGGUCCAAUUCCGAGUUCAAAUGGCCAAGUUAUGGCUAUUUGAAGUUUAUAUGCUCUUUAAAUGGAUAUUUACGAAUUUCUUCAUUUAAAUUUUUAAUUUAAAAUCGGGUUUAUUGCGUCAGCCGAGGGGAGGGACGCGCGGACCGGGUCCACGGGAGUGGGGCCCACGCGGCAGCCUCACGGUCCACGGUGGACCGGGUGCACGCGGCUUACGCCGGCCGGCGCCGUGGGUCCCACGCGUCAGCCGCACCCGAGGGCGCGAGCGGCUGACGGCCGGGCCCCACAUGGCAGCCGCGGGCACGGCCGACGGGGAGGCGGCGCGCCCGCACCCCGAUGGUCGCCGGCGGCGGCCACCGGCGCGGCGGAGCGGCGCCCGAGAGAGGGGAGGGAAGGGGGAAACGAAAUGGGCGGUCCAUGGCUCACCCCGAGUCGACGACGACGACGGGAACGGCGACCGAAGCGGAGAGAGGCGGCGGCGCGGCUCGGGUCAACGAGGAUGGCGGCGUUCCGGCGGUCGGCGGGCGAAACGGAGGAGUGGACGGAGGAGUACAAGGGGAUAAUAAUAUAGGGGUUAAGUUUUGCAGUAAAUGGCAUUUAAAAGUCACUUAGUUUCCCAAAGCCAUUUUAUAAAGACGAUCCUAGAGCUACACAGUAUUAUUAAUCAAGGCCGUGAACCCACACGAACCUGCCUUAACCCAAGGCCUACGAUGAUUCAGACCGAACUGGCAACCCGACCCUGGGUCCCAGCUCGUCCCAAGCCAACCCAGGCCAACCAUUCCACAUUUUAGUUGUUGAGCAAAUUUUAAGAAUUAGAACACUGACUUGGGUACAUUGCUCGGCUUGCCCACAACCGAGGGCGCGGCUAUUCGAAUAGAUUAUACUCUGAUCAAAGGUGUACAUCUUUACCCACAAGACACAUCUUCCUCACGUGUAACCACGUGCCACAUACCACCACGGUAUACAGACGGAAGACGUGACAUAGUUUCCAACCCAUCCUAGCCAUAGACAAGAGUACCGACCCAAUCCUUCCUACGGCCGGAACCCCCGGGACAGGCAGGCAGGACUGAGCCCCAAGCAGCAGGGCACCAACCCUCUGCCAUGACAUCUCGACUACCGGGCCGCAGCUCGUGUAGCCUUCAUUUGCCCUGGAGAAUGUCCAUCGACCCCCGACUUCAUCCAUCUCCAAUCCGUGUACUUUUGUUUAUAACCAGACUGAGCCACAAACUAAGCCUUACCCACUAGACAUGUGGAAGUACGGUAGUGCUUUGCAACAGAGGCCCGAGCUUAAUCCUUAUAGUGGCCGGGGUGCUACUUCCCACAACUGGCAUGCACCCAAACCCCACCGAAAACAGGUUUUAGGGGUUUUGAAAGAGGAAGAGAGGUGUAUGUCCAAGUCCACAUUAAACCAACAAUUCCAUAGUGUCCAAAUGAUAUGAGAAUUCCCAAAGUCUAAAGUUAUAAAAACCACCUAAUGUUGUCCUAUUAAACAGCGAAGCAUCUACCUAAAUUCAUACUAGUGGAACCAUGAAUAUAAUGUCCACUAGUUGGGGUUUUGUUUAUUCUAGGGUGAACAAGGUAAUAGUAACAAUAGCAAAUAAUAAUGUCUUAACAAUGAUAAAUAGGCAUGGCUAAAUAAAACAGUGAUAACGCGGGAAUUUAAAUAAAGCGGUAAUGCAUUAAUUUAAAUCAAAAUAAUUUUAUAAACUGGGAUUCAAUAUGCUCAAGGAUGAUGUGACUUGCCUUGCUCGCUUUCCCAAACGUCGGCUUCUACUUCCACGAAGAGCGGAUCUUCCGAAGCUGCAGCGUCUACACGACCGACGGAAAAGAAAAGGCUUUUACUCUACUAAACUCCACAUAACAGCAGAAACAAAGCACAAAAAUGGGUUCUUGACUUCUUAAGGAAAAAUUAGAGACUUGAACGGUCCAAUUCCGAGUUCAAAUGGCCAAGAUAUGGCCAUUUGAAGUUUAUAUGCUCUUUAAAUGGAUAUUUGCGAAUUUCUUCAUUUAAAUUUUAAUUAAAAACGGAUUUAUUGCGUCAGCCGAGAGAGAGGGCGCGCGGACCAGGUCCACGGGAGUGGGGCCCACGCGUCAGCCUCUCGGUCCACGGUGGACCGGGUGCACGCGACUGGCGCUGACCGGCGCCGUGGGUCCCGCGCGUCAGCCGCACCCGCGGGCGCGGGCGGCUGACGGCCGGGCCCCACAUGGCAGCCGCGGGGCGCGCCCGAAGGCGGCCUCGCCGGCACGGCCGACGGGAGGGGACGCGCCCGCGCCCCGAUGGUCGCCGCCGGCGACCAACGGCGCGGCGGAGCGGCACCCGAGAGAGAGGAGGGAAGGGGGAAGCGAGCGGAGCGGUCCACGGCUCACCCCGGGACGACGAGGGCGGCGGAAACGACGACCGGAGCGGAGGAAGACGGCGGCGCGGCUCGGGUCGACGAGGACGGCGGUGCUCCGGCGGUCGGCGGGCGAAACGGAGGCGCGGACGAGGUCGACGAGGACGCGGCGAAGCCGAUGGAGGUGACGCCGAGUCGGGAGGAAGUCCGGAGCGACGGCGGCGGCGAACCGGAGCUCGUCGGCGACGGCGGAGAGAGAGGACGACGGCGCGGGCACGAAUCCGACGGGGAGGAGAGGCGGCGAGUGGCGGAAACGGAGGAGAGAGGCACGGGGAGCGAUUAUAUAGCACCGGGAGGGGGAGAGAGCGGCCGGAGGAGAAGGAAACGGGCGCGGAGAUCUCGGCCGCCAUUGAUGCGCCGGCGAGCUUUACGGGAAUGAAUCCGGAUGAAUCCGAGGGAGCAAGAGAGGGAAAAGAGGGGGGAAAGAGGGAGGGAAUCACGGGGAGUGAUUUCCCCCUCUUUAUGGCGCGCGGGGACGGCGGGAUGCGGCGGAAUCCGCGGCGGCGGCGGCGCUAGGGCACGGGCGGGCGGCGGACGCGGCGCGAGGAAGGCGAUGACAGGUGGGCCCCACCCGUCAGCGAGGGUGGCGGGCGGGCCCGCCUGUCAGCGGCGCGCGCGCGGGGAGGAGGCCGAUGGGCCGCGGGGGAGAGGAGAGAGAGGGAGGGAGAGUUGGGCCGAGCCGGCCCAAGAAGGGAAGGGGGGAAAAGAAGACUUUUAGGGAUUUUUCUUUUUAUAAACCUUUUUAACUUUGUUUAUUUCUUCUCAAUUAUUAUUUGUGCUCUGAAAAUUUCACUAAAAUUUGAGGGCUCCUUUUAGACCAAGGAGAACUUAACAAAAAUUCUCCGGGCCACAUUUGAAUUUUUCUUGUACGUAUUUUAGUGUUUACCAAUUUCUUUUCGAAUUUUAACUAAUUCUAUUAUUCCUUUUAGAGAAUGAUUUUUAAUUUCGGGAUGAAUUUAUCAGGACGUGACAAAUCCACCCCCCUUACAAGAAUCUCGUCCCCGAGAUUCGAGGAGGCUAGCAAGAAGAUAGGUUGGGCGGUCUUCUCUUCUUGUCUGACUUCUUCCGCCGCGUCUUUUAUAACAAACUUGCCUAGCAAAACUUCUCCACUCUGGACUGCUUGGCUCGAUCUCCUAUUGCAGAUGGAAUCUUCUCUUCACCUGACUUGUCCAUGGUUGAACCUUUAGCUGACUUCGACUGGGUUGCGGCACUUGAAGAUGGGGCUUCAGUUCCAGAACUUUGCAUAGUUCAUAUCUUUGGAGUCAACCUCAUACAAGUUACCCACUUCAUGUCAUGCGUCGAGAUCAGCUCGUCAUUACUAAGAUACCAUGCUUGUCAUUUGCUUCUAACUCGCCACCAACUGCCUCAUAUUAGCUUUCCUGGUCUCCGGGUGAUAGCUACUUCUGCUAUUUGAUGCAAGGGUCGAUAACUUUGCCUUUGAAUUAUGCUUCCCAAGAGAACCAACUUAUCCCACUUGAUAUACUUUGACGUCUUCCCAAAUAGUUUUACUGCUGGACUUCUUAUUGUCUGUUCGUUAUCCGGCCAAAUUUGAAGCUUCGUUGUUAGAUGUGAUUUUACUCUGACCUUUGUAGGCUAUCUUCGAACAUAUCACUUGGUUCAUAACUGGGAAUAGCUCCCACGAACAAGCAACUCAGAUUCGCUUUCUUUAUGUUCAGUUUACUUUCCGCGAUUCUCUUCAUGUUGUCAUCAUUUAGCAUUCAACGUAUUCCUGUGCACCUUCAGCCUUGAUGUGUUCUUUCUCGAUGGAUCGAUUGCUAGGAAAGUGCGUUGAGCGAUACUAGUGCAAGUGCUUAUAUUCUAGUAGCAUCUGAUACAAAGCCCAAGGUUGAACCGAGCUUUAGAUUCCACUGUUCAGGUUUUACUUCUUGACUUCUUGGUCAUGUCACAAAGGUUUCCAUCCUUGUCCCCAUAGAAGUACUUCUACCUGCGGUCAUCUCUCUUACUCGUGAAUUCGCCUACUUUAAUGACAGGGCAACUGUCGUAGGGUUGUUUGCUAUCGGGAGUCUUCCUCGAGUGACACAAAUCAUGGUUCUCGUUAUCCUUUAUCAAUCACCUUUCGACCUACUUCUUUUCCCAGUAACCAAACAUCUUUUCCGAUCUCUUCCAUUAAUCACCUUUCGACCUUUCUCAACCAGGUACUCUUCGCUCCGGGUGUUGAGGAUGCUUCUGGGGCAAUGAGGUGCUUGGGCGUGCUGUCUUUCAGAGAAACCUUGAAGUAGUUCGUCAAAAGCUAGACUGACGAUUGUUGCCUUUGAUCCGAAGAGACACAUCUGAAACUCUUAGUCCAAACAAAUGCCUCUUUGGUUGAUCACUUGAUUUUCUUCGCCAUCAAUCGCCAGGCUAUUUGAUUCCUAACAGAUUAUGGGUUUACGGAAAUGAGACCCUAGGUCUCCCUAAUCAACAACAAAAUGUGCACAACUCACAGCACUUGCACUCUUAACAUGGAUCCUUCAUAAGCUUAUCAAACUCAUUCAUUAUCUCAUGUUUCUCUGUUAUUACAUGAUUGACGGGGAACAACUAUAAAACAAAAGUAUUUGAACACUGAUAUAAGAGUAUUAUGGUUGCUUUUGACUAGCGCUAGGCUUAUCAGGUACUGCAUUUGCUCCAGUGACCACUUGGCGACUGGCAUGUCUGCUUCCUUAACAGGUACUACAGUUUGUAACAGACAAUAACUUUCUUACGCUCGGGUUCUUCAUCUUGUACUUGAUUUCUUUGGCUGCUGUGCUGGAACAUCCAAAGGUACAAUGCCGAUACUGGCCUCUGUCUUGUCAACUGAUGGCUGGGGCUGAAAUUGAGCAUUGACACCUUGUGGUAAUGCACUCGCUGGAGUUGGAGCUGUUGCAACGCGGUCUAUAGGACUGCUUCGGGAUGCAUGGAUGACAAUUCGCUGAGGAGCAAGCUUCUGAUUGCAAGGAGUUGCGUGGACUGACGUGCUGGCAGCUAUGUUUCUCGGUCUGGGGCACUUGUCGGCGAAAUGACCCAUUCCUUGACAAUUGAAGCAACAGAUAUCUUCCCGGACUCGGCAUUUUCUUUUCUAUCAUCAGGUUGGUUAUUAACUCGAGGUUAGAACAUAGUUCCUCUGAAAUGAGACCCUAGGUCUCCUUUGACAGUAAACAAUUAUACACAUAAUUCCAUAUCAGCAUCUUCCAAAAUAACCCUCCUAGAACUUGCUUUUAUUACACAUGUCUCCCUUAUUACAUGAAUACAAGGCCCUGCCUUAAACAAAAAGGGAAGGUGCUUAACAUCGGUACAUUGUAUCCUCAACAGGAAUCAUCCAUAAACAUAGCAAGCUCACUGUUUAUAGUCAUGAAUAUAUUUAUUUAUUACAUGAUUGCUGCAAACUUUCUAUUACACAAUGAUAAGUAGCAAACUGUAAACCACAAACAUGGCUGCUCAUUUUGAUUCCGGAGAGAUAUAGCUGGCAUUGUUCUAGUGACUGCAUCCUUGAUUGGUUCUGUGAUGAUGUGAUAGGACUACAUAAUGCUAUCAUUCACAGGAGAAGCUUCCUUCUGAUUGCUGGUUGAAGCGGAUGACGGUCUUCUGCUUGGUAUCGCCCUCCGGAGGUUGAUUGCCCUUUGCUUGGCCUGGAGUAGGUCGGGGAGAGACACAACUUCUUCCAUCGACGACAAUUCUUUGCUGAGGCUGUCGGUGCAGAGAAUGGUUGGUGCUGAAGGUAUUAUCGCUAUGAUUUACUACAGAGUCAGGUGCAGCAGGAGGAGCAUUGGUGCUGUGGAUGAUAUCGUCGAUAUUGCUGUUGGAGCUGACUAGCUGAUGAGACAAUCGUAGGGUUGUUCGUUGGAUUUCUGCGGUCUUGGUCAACAACACACUGAGUUGGCAAUCCUUGGGCACAUGGUUUGUACCUUCGCAUAGAAAACAUGUGACCUUGCGGGUGGGACACUCCCCUGGUGGAUGGUCUUCUUCACAAUGAGGGCAGAGUGUGAGACACAUGCUAGCAAUGUGUCCAAUUUCUCCACAACGGGUGCAUGCCUUUGAUUCCAUCUCUUCCUCGCCGAGAUGUCGGGGAGACUCAUCUUCAUCACCCGAGGAGACUUGAUCUGACCCUUCACUAUCAGAUACUCUGCCGCCAUGGCUUAGGAGGUGCUGGGUCAACUGUCGUGCACCUCGGAAGGUAUUUCCUCUUUGACGUCUAGGAAUAGUUAUCCCUGCUGGAGGCCAUUCGGUGCUGGUAAUAGUCAUCUUACGUACUUCUUCUUCAGUUCGCAUCGGUGCUUUUCUCUUCUGAUUCUUACUCUUCUUGCCUUUGGCUUGCUUCGUACGUGACCCCACGUGGUACGAAAGGCUAGGAGGAAAGCAUUUCCUUGGAUUCAAUGGAUUCUCUCCGUUGAGCUCUCUACUUUGCACACUAGGCUGCAAGCUUGACUUGGUGUGAGGAGGCUGGUUUAGCGAUGUCUGCCCUGCUAAACCAAAGGAAGGAGCUUCUUUGGUAUAUACCCAUGGACAAUUCAGGGCAUAGUGUCCUUGCUCUCUACAAUCCUGACAAAAGGGGACAUCCUCUUCUGGCAUUGGAAGCUUAUUGACCUGGGUGGCAAAUGCUCGAUCAAACACAUACUGAUUUUGGUCUUGACUUCCAACCAAUGGUAGCUGUGAACCAAGCAGCAUGCUCGGAAUGGACCAAGGGUGUGCCCUUGUUAACUCUCUUGAGGCCAGUGGUGGAUUGAGUUGAAAACUUGAGUUACUUGAGGCAUACCUGCUGACAUUCUUUCCUUUUUCUCUGUUAAACAUCUGUUACAGGGAUUGAGGUGAGAGAGGAAACAAGCCAGGAAAGAAUAGACCAGAACUAGAGACAGGACCUUAAAGGAACUAACUCUUCUUGUUGAUGUGUUGUUUGUUUUGCUUAUUCUGCAAGUUGAUUAAGCAAACAACCUAGCAUGGUUACAUCACACCCCACUGAUGCAAACCACGCGCUACACACACAAGCAAGGAAAACACACGACUAACGACUCUACCCUAGAGGGUGGCUUAGGUUCUGUGACGGGUUCUCCAAGAUCUUCACUCCUGCUUCACAGCUGGCUUCACUGCUUCCUUUGCUUAGCGGAUCCAACAGCCUUCUGGAGCUUCGGCAAACAAUUGGCGUCAUCUUCUUCUUCGCAAAACUAACCAUCUAGUACUAGUUGAAAUCCGAAGAAGGAAGAAGGGAGUAAACAUUUUGCAAAUAGCAUUAGGGAAAGGAGGAAAAAGGAACUUUCGCAAAUAGUUUUAUUUAUAAAAUAUGUCCUUAGGUUUUAUCCACUUGGCUUAUCCUACAGUCGAGAUGGCUCUGAUACCAUCUUGUCGCGACCGGGAAAAUUGCCUUUUCCCGAACGCUAGUGUAUUAAUCCCCGUCCCAGGAAAAGCCGGGGUACACCACACAAACAUGAUAUAAAACACACAUCUUUAUUAUAUCGAUAAUAUAUACAUUAUUACAAAGGCGCUUAAGGCCUGACAAUCAAAAAUAAACAGCAGCGGACUAGCGGGCCUACGGCUCCAUCUUCACAGGCGCUCAACUGGGGUAUAAGCCAAGACUCCACCUAAGACUUCUUCUCCAAAGCUUCUCUUACUGAAGGGGGGGAGAAAGAUAGAGCAAGAAUGAGUACAACCACAGUACUCAGCAAGCCACACCGGAGACGCACAAUUAAUGCAAAGGAGUACAAGGGGAUAAUAAUAUAGGGGUUAAGUUUUGCAGUAAAUGGCAUUUAAAAGUCACUUAGUUUCCCAAAGCCAUUUUAUAAAGACGAUCCUAGAGCUACACAGUAUUAUUAAUCAAGGCCGUGAACCCACACGAACCUGCCUUAACCCAAGGCCUACGAUGAUUCAGACCGAACUGGCAACCCGACCCUGGGUCCCAGCUCGUCCCAAGCCAACCCAGGCCAACCAUUCCACAUUUUAGUUGUUGAGCAAAUUUUAAGAAUUAGAACACUGACUUGGGUACAUUGCUCGGCUUGCCCACAACCGAGGGCGCGGCUAUUCGAAUAGAUUAUACUCUGAUCAAAGGUGUACAUCUUUACCCACAAGACACAUCUUCCUCACGUGUAACCACGUGCCACAUACCACCACGGUAUACAGACGGAAGACGUGACAUAGUUUCCAACCCAUCCUAGCCAUAGACAAGAGUACCGACCCAAUCCUUCCUACGGCCGGAACCCCCGGGACAGGCAGGCAGGACUGAGCCCCAAGCAGCAGGGCACCAACCCUCUGCCAUGACAUCUCGACUACCGGGCCGCAGCUCGUGUAGCCUUCAUUUGCCCUGGAGAAUGUCCAUCGACCCCCGACUUCAUCCAUCUCCAAUCCGUGUACUUUUGUUUAUAACCAGACUGAGCCACAAACUAAGCCUUACCCACUAGACAUGUGGAAGUACGGUAGUGCUUUGCAACAGAGGCCCGAGCUUAAUCCUUAUAGUGGCCGGGGUGCUACUUCCCACAACUGGCAUGCACCCAAACCCCACCGAAAACAGGUUUUAGGGGUUUUGAAAGAGGAAGAGAGGUGUAUGUCCAAGUCCACAUUAAACCAACAAUUCCAUAGUGUCCAAAUGAUAUGAGAAUUCCCAAAGUCUAAAGUUAUAAAAACCACCUAAUGUUGUCCUAUUAAACAGCGAAGCAUCUACCUAAAUUCAUACUAGUGGAACCAUGAAUAUAAUGUCCACUAGUUGGGGUUUUGUUUAUUCUAGGGUGAACAAGGUAAUAGUAACAAUAGCAAAUAAUAAUGUCUUAACAAUGAUAAAUAGGCAUGGCUAAAUAAAACAGUGAUAACGCGGGAAUUUAAAUAAAGCGGUAAUGCAUUAAUUUAAAUCAAAAUAAUUUUAUAAACUGGGAUUCAAUAUGCUCAAGGAUGAUGUGACUUGCCUUGCUCGCUUUCCCAAACGUCGGCUUCUACUUCCACGAAGAGCGGAUCUUCCAAAGCUGCAGCGUGUACACGACCGACGGAAAAGAAAAGGCUUUUACUCUACUAAACUCCACAUAACAGCAGAAACAAAGCACAAAAAUGGGUUCUUGACUUCUUAAGGAAAAAUUAGAGACUUGAACGGUCCAAUUCCGAGUUCAAAUGGCCAAGAUAUGGCCAUUUGAAGUUUAUAUGCUCUUUAAAUGGAUAUUUGCGAAUUUCUUCAUUUAAAUUUUAAUUAAAAACGGAUUUAUUGCGUCAGCCGAGAGAGAGGGCGCGCGGACCGGGUCCACGGGUGUGGGGCCCACGCGUCAGCCUCUCGGUCCACGGUGGACCGGGUGCACGCGACUGGCGCUGACCGGCGCCGUGGGUCCCGCGCGUCAGCCGCACCCGCGGGCGCGGGCGGCUGACGGCCGGGCCCCACAUGGCAGCCGCGGGGCGCGCCCGAAGGCGGCCUCGCCGGCACUGCCGACGGUAGGGGACGCGCCCGCGCCCCGAUGGUCGCCGCCAGCGACCAACGGCGCGGCGGAGCGGCACCCGAGAGAGAGGAGGGAAGGGGGAAGCGAGCGGAGCGGUCCACGGCUCACCCCGGGACGACGAGGGCGGCGGAAACGACGACCGGAGCGGAGGAAGACGGCGGCGCGGCUCGGGUCGACGAGGACGGCGGUGCUCCGGCGGUCGGCGGGCGAAACGGAGGCGCGGACGAGGUCGACGAGGACGCGGCGAAGCCGAUGGAGGUGACGCCGAGUCGGGAGGAAGUCCGGAGCGACGGCGGCGGCGAACCGGAGCUCGUCGGCGACGGCGGAGAGAGAGGACGACGGCGCGGGCACGAAUCCGACGGGGAGGAGAGGCGGCGAGUGGCGGAAACGGAGGAGAGAGGCACGGGGAGUGAUUAUAUAGCACCGGGAGGGGGAGAGAGCGGCCGGAGGAGAAGGAAACGGGCGCGGAGAUCUCGGCCGCCAUUGAUGCGCCGGCGAGCUUUGCGGGAAUGAAUCCGGACGAAUCCGAGGGAGCAAGAGAGGGAAAAGAGGGGGGAAAGAGGGAGGGAAUCACGGGGAGUGAUUUCCCCCUCUUUAUGGCGCGCGGGGACGGCGGGAUGCGGCGGAAUCCGCGGCGGCGGCGGCGCUAGGGCACGGGCGGGCGACGGACGCGGCGCGAGGAAGGCGAUGACAGGUGGGCCCCACCCGUCAGCGAGGGUGGCGGGCGGGCCCGCCUGUCAGCGGCGCGCGCGCGGGGAGGAGGCCGAUGGGCCGCAGGGGAGAGGAGAGAGAGGGAGGGAGAGUUGGGCCGAGCCGGCCCAAGAAGGGAAGGGGGGAAAAGAAGACUUUUAGGGAUUUUUCUUUUUAUAAACCUUUUUAACUUUGUUUAUUUCUUCUCAAUUAUUAUUUGUGCUCUGAAAAUUCCACUAAAAUUUGAGGGCUCCUUUUAGACCAAGGAGAACUUAACAAAAAUUCUCCGGGCCACAUUUGAAUUUUUCUUGUACGUAUUUUAGUGUUUACCAAUUUCUUUUCGAAUUUUAACUAAUUCUAUUAUUCCUUUUAGAGAAUGAUUUUUAAUUUCGGGAUGAAUUUAUCAGGACGUGACAGUAUUUUAGAGUCGUUUUGGGACGUGACAAAGGGUUCAAAGAUUGAGGAACAGGGAGCGCCUCCAGGAGGUUGAACAAGAAAUUAAUCAUCGGCUGAGGAAAGCGAAGCCAAGGCAGGAGUGGUGUGUUAAGAAUCAAGUUCCUGUAGCCGAUGAUGUUGCAGCCAAUGAGGCAAAGAGGUUGGCAAAAGCGAAGAGUGUUGUGACGGCACCAACUAACAUGGUCUUUACCUUGCCAGCCGAAUUCCGGAUCGAUCAAGCCGAUGUCAACGAGGUGGAAGAGGAAUCGGCUAAGUUGGUUCUGUCACCAGAACAGGCAGUGUUCGAGAAACCCGAGGGGACAGAGAAUCGGCAUCUUAAACCAUUGCAUCUUAAACCAUUGUAUAUAAACGGCUACGUCAAUGGGAAGCCGAUGUCUAAAAUGAUGGUUGAUGGUGGGGCUGCGGUAAAUUUGAUGCCUUAUGCUACGUUCAAGAAGUUAAGUAGAAAUGCCGAGGAUCUCAUCAAGACAAAUAUGGUGCUCAAAGACUUUGGUGGUAAUCCAUCGGAAACCAAAGGUGUUCUGAAUGUGGAGCUGACGGUCGGCAGUAAGACUAUUCCUAUUACGUUUUUUGUCAUCGAUGAGAAGGGUUCUUACAGCUUGUUGCUUGGAAGGGAUUGGAUUCAUGCUAAUUGUUGCAUUCCUUCAACUAUGCAUCAAUGUUUGAUUCAAUGGCAAGGCGACAAGAUAGAGAUCGUGCCAGCCGACAGGUCAGUUAAUGUUGCCAGUGCCGAUUUAGCUCUUUGGGAGAUGGAUGGCCUUGAUUGUUUAUCUGGAAAAGUCUGGGAUGGAGAUUUUCUAAAAGUGUCCGAUUCUGAUAUACAGCCAAUUGAAGAUGGAGAACCCAAGCUAUUGUUUUGAGGGCGUCGUGGAGGGUUCGAAUGUCUACAGUAAGGAUACAGUAGAUGUCACGACCGGAAAUAACCCAACGGGCGUUCCUUACGUGCGUGCAUUAUUCCUUGUCCCAGGAGGCAAGGUACACCAAAAGUUGAUACAGUUCAGAGUUCAACAAGCGGAAGCGUAAAUAGUUAAUUUAUUACAUGGGCGGCGAAGGCCCAGCACACACAAAGACAAACGGGAAACAGCGGAAGACUAGGGCGACGACCACAGGCGCUUGAUGGCAGGCACGAGCUAGACACCAAAGCCUUCAUCUUCCAGGGGCUCCUAUUCUAGGUUUGGGAAAAAUUGAGCAAGACUGAGUACAACCACCGUACUCAACAAGACACACCCACAAGUGCAGAAUAAAUGCAAGGGAGUACAAGGGGGUUAUAAUAUAAAGGGUUAGGGUUUGCAGUAAACGGCAUUAAAAGACACUUAGUUGCUCAAAGCUAUUUUGUAAACACGAUUCUAUAACUAUACAAUAUUAUUAAUCAAGGCCGUGAACCCACACUAACCUGCCUUAACACAAGGCCUACGAUGAUUCAGACCGAACUAGCAACCCGACCCUGGGUCCCAGCUCGUCCCAAGCCAACCCAGGCCAACCAUUCCACAUUUUAGUUGUUAAGCAGGUUUUAAGAAUUAAAACACUAACUUGGGUACAUUGCUCGGCUUGCCCAUAACCGAGGGCGCGGCUAUUCAAAUAGAUUAUACUCUGAUCAGAGGUGUACAUCUUUACCCACAAGACACAUCUUUCUCACGUGUAACCACGUGCCACAUACCACAACGGUAUACGGACGGAAGACGUGACAUAGUUUCCAACCCAUCCUAAUCAUAGACAAGAGUAUCGACCCAACCCCACCUACGGCCGGAACCUCCGGGACAGGUAGGCAGGACUGAGCCCCUAGCAGCAGGACACCGGCCUCGUGCCACGACAUCUCGACUACCGAGCCGCAGCUCGUGUAGCCUUUAUUUGUCCUAGAGAUGUCCAUCGACCCCCGACUUCGUCCAUCUCCAUCCGUGUACUUUUGUUUAUAACCAGACUGAGCCACAAACUAAGCCUUACCCACUAGACAUGUGGAAGUAUGGUAGUGCUUUGCAACAGAGGCCCGAAGACCGGUCCUUAUAUGGCCGAGGUGCUACUAUUAAAACCAUGCACCCCGAGCCCAGCCUAAAACCAUUUUGAGGAUUUUGAAUAGAGGGGGAGGUGUGAAUCCAAUUCCACAAUAAUCCAACAAUUCCAUAGUGUCCAGGUGAUAUGAAUAUUCCCAAAGUCUAGAGUUGUAAAACCACCUAAUGUUGCCUAAUUAACCGGCGAAGCAUCUACCUAAAUUCUUACUAGUGGUACCAUGAGUAGAGUGUCCACUAGUUGGGGUUUUGUUUAACCUAGGGUGAACAAGGAAAUAAUAACAAUAACAAUAAUAAGGUCAUAACAAAGGUAAAUAGGCAUGGCUAAACAAAACAGUGAUAACGCGGGAAUUUAAAUAAAGCGAUAAUGCAAUAAUUUAAAUCAACAUAAUUUUAUAAACUGGGAUUCAAUGUGUUCAAGGAUGAUGUGACUUGCCUUGCUCGCUUUCCCAAACGUCGGCUUCAACUUCCAUGAAGAGCGGAUCUUCCGAAGCUGCAGCGUCUACACGACCAACGAAAAAGAAAAGGCUUUUACUCUAAUAAACUCCAUAUAACAAGCAGAAACAAAGCACAAAAAUGGGUUCUUGACUUCUUAAGGAAAAAUUUGAGACUUGAACGGUCCAAUUCCGAGUUCAAAUGGCCAAGUUAUGGUCAUUUGAAGUUUAUAUGCUCUUUAAAUGAAUAUUUGCGAAUUUCUUCAUUUAAAUUUUAAUUUAAAAAGGGUUUAUUGCGUCAGCCGAGGGGAGGGGCGCGCGGACCGGGUCCACGGGAGUGGGGCCCACGCAGCAGCCUCACGGUCCACGGUGGACCGGGCGCACCCGGGCUCGCACCGGCCGGCGCCGUGGGCCCCACGCGUCAGCCGCACCUAAGGGCGCGGGCGGCUGACGGCCGGGCCCCACGCGGCAGCCGCUAGGCGCACCCGGAGGCGGCCACGUCGGUGCGGCCGGCGGGAGGCGGCGCGCCCGCGCCCCUAUGGUCGCCGGCGGCGGCCAUAGGCACGGCGGAGCGGCGGCCGAGAGAGGGGAGGGAAAGGGGGAAACGAAACGGCGGUCCACGGCUCACCCCGGGUCGACGGCGACGACGAAAACGGCGACCGGAGCGAAGGAAGGCGGCGGCACGGCUCGGGUGGACGGGGUCGACGGUGCUCCGGCGGUCGACGAGCGAAACGGAGGGGUGGACGAGGUCGGCGAGGAUGCGGCGAAGCCGAAGGAGGCGGCGCCGAGGUGGGAGGUGGUCCGGGGCGACGACAGCGGCGGACCGGUGCUCGACGGCGACGGCGGAGAGAGAGAGCGACGGCGCGAGCUCGAUUCCGGCGGGGAGAGAGGGCGGUGAGUGGCGGAAACGGUGGUGGGGAGCUCGGGGAGGGUUUAUAUAGGGUUGGGAGUGAGAGAGGGCGGCCGGAGGAGGGGGAAAUGGGCGCGGGAGACCCGGCCGCCAUUAAUGGCGCCGGCGAGGUUAGGGGAGCGGUUUCCAAACGAAUCUGAGGGAGAGAGAGAGGGAAAAAUGGGGGGAAAGGGGGAGGGGAUCCCGGGGAAUAAUUCCCCCCUAUUGAUUGCGCGCGGGGAGGACGGGGGCGGCGGGAUUCGCGGCGGCGGCGGCGCUAGGGCGCGGGCGGGGCGGUGGGAGCGGCGGGAGGAAGGGGAUGACGGGUGGGCCCCACCCGUCAGCGAGGGUGGCGGGCGGGCCCGCCCGUUAGCAGCGCGCGCGCGGGGAGAGGCCGGAUGGGCCGCGGGGGAGAGGAGAGAGGGGGAGAGAGAUGGGCCGAGCCGGCCCAAGAGGGAGAGGGAGGGGAAGGGGACUUUUUAGAGUUUUUCUUUUUAUAAAAUCAUUUUAACUUUGUUUAUUUCUUAACAAUUAUUAUUUGUGCUAUGAAAAUUCCACUAAAAUUUAUUUACGCAUUUUAGGCUUUUAGGAAAUAUACAAAAAUCCUCCAAGCCUUAUUUGACUUUUAACUUUGCACAUUUUAAUUGUUGAAGGCUUGCACACAGAUUUUAAUUAUUCUAGGCAUAAUUUUAAGGAUAUAUUUUAGGGUCGUUUUGGGACGCGACAAACCUACCCCCCUUAAACGAAAUCUCGACCCCGAGAUUCGGAAAAACUGGCGAAGAGAUCGGGAUGGGCUGCCUUCAGCUCGUCUUCACGCUCCCAAGUAGCUUCUUCCUCGGCGUGGUUGCUCCAUUGGACCUUGCAAAAACGGAUACCCGAUUCCUGGUCCUGCGCUCCAUGGUGUCCAGGAUUUUCACUAGCCUCUCCACGUAGGUCAAGUCUUCGCGAACUUCAAUUUGCUCUGAGUCAGCCUGCUCGGAUGGCACUCGAAGACAUUUCUUGAGUUGCGACACACGGAACACAUCAUGCACGUUGCCCAAGGAGGCGGGCAGCUCCAACUGGUAAGCGACUUCUCCGCGUCGAGCAAUGAUACGGAAAGGACCCACAAACCGAGGUGCGAGCUUCCCUUUUGUCUGAAACCUGUGUACACCUCGCAAUGGCGUGACCCGAAGGUACACAAAAUCGUCCACUGCGAAUUCCAGAUUACGGCGACGGUUAUCUGCAUAACUUUUCUGCCGGGACUGUGCCACCUUUAGAUUAUCCCGAAUGGUUCUGACCUUCGCUUCAGCUUCUCUCAGGAUAUCAGUCCCGAACACUUGGCUUUCCCCAACUUGGUCCCACAAGAGCGGUGUCCGGCAUUUGCGUCCAUACAACGCUUCAUAAGGUGCCAUUUGUAUGCUGGCUUGGUAGCUGUUAUUGUAGGAGAACUCGGCAUAGGGGAGACUCUUAUCCCAGGUCUUCCCGAAAUCUAGGACACAUGCGCGAAGCAUAUCUUCUAGGAUCUGAUUUAGACGCUCGGCCUGUCCAUCUGUCUGCGGGUGAUACGCGGUGCUGAAAUUUAAUCGGGUACCCAGCUCUUCUUGGAGCUUCUUCCAAAAGUGAGAGGUGAAUUGGCUUCCCCUAUCAGAUACAAUUUUCUUAGGAACGCCAUGGAGACUCACGAUCCUAGCGAAGUAGAGCUCGGCUAGUUUGUUCCCUCUAUAGGUGGUCUUCAGAGGAAUAAACCGAGCUACCUUGGUUAGUCGGUCCACAACUACCCAUAUAGAAUCAUAUCCGCCUUGGGUUUUUGGAAGUCCGGUGAUGAAAUCCAUCCCAAUUUCAUCCCAUUUCCAUUCUGGUACUUGGAGAGGUUGGAGAAGUCCGGCCGGUCGUUGGUGCUCUGCCUUGACACGCUGGCACACAUCACAAAGGGCCACGAACUCUGCAAUUUCCCGCUUCAUACUAACCCACCAGUAUUUCCCUUUCAAGUCUAAGUACAUCUUCGUGCUGCCAGGGUGGAUGGAAUAAGGACUUUCGUGAGCUUCCUGAAGUAUCAGCUGUUUAAGUUCUCUGUCAUCUGGAACGCAUACCCGAUUUCCGUUCCAUAGGGUUCCGUGUUCAUCCUCUGUGAAACCAGCGGCUUUACCCUGUUUCAUAUUCUUGAGGAGUCCACACAUGUCCGGAUCAUUCUUCUGAGCCUCGCGGAUUUGAUCGAGCAAGGUAGGCUUGGCUUCCAACGUAGCCAAGAAUCCACGACCAACUAUGCUUAGGUUCAGGGCUUCCAUCUGUUGAUUAAGUUCGGGUGGAAUGCCACGGACGUUAAGAGUGUUGCAAUGGCUUUUUCGACUUAGAGCGUCGGCGACCACGUUGGCCUUACCAGGAUGAUAGUGAAUUCCCACAUCAUAAUCCUUGAUGAGUUCUAACCAUCUCCUCUGCCGAAGAUUCAGAUCCGACUGGGUGAAGAUGUAUUUCAAACUCUUAUGAUCAGUAUAUAUUUCACAGCGAUUCCCAAUGAGAUAGUGCCGCCAGAUUUUUAGAGCAUGAACCACCGCGGCUAAUUCCAAAUCAUGGGUAGGGUAGUUGCCUUCAUGAGGCCGUAGCUGGCGUGAGGCAUAGGCUACCACAUGACCUUCCUGCAUGAGCACGCACCCCAAUCCUUGGCGCGAAGCGUCACAAUACACCAUGAAGUCCUUGCGAGUAUGCGGUAAGAUUAAAACCGGCGAGGAAACCAGCUUUUCCUGGAGAGUUUGGAACGCCUUCUCGCAUUGCGGGCUCCACACAAAUUUCUCUUCUUUCUUCAACAACUUUGUCAUGGGUCGAGCGAUUUUGGAGAAGUUCUCGAUGAACCUCCGGUAGUAUCCUGCCAAACCUAAGAAGCUGCGAAUUUGAGUGACUGUCUUGGGUUGCUUCCAAUCAGUGACGGCGGUCACUGUUUCGGGGUCUACAGCAACUCCUUUAGCAGAUAUCACGUGCCCUAAGAAUUUGACUUCGGACAACCAGAACUCACACUUGCUAAGUUUGGCAUACAAUUGAUGUUCCCGCAACUUUCCCAACACCAGACGGAGAUGGUGCUGAUGGUCUUCCUCUGAUUGUGAGUACACCAGAAUGUCGUCAAUGAAAACCACAACAAACUUAUCCAAGUAUUCCAUGAACACUUUGCUCAUUAAGUUGACGAAGAAGGCAGGAGCAUUGGUUAAACCGAACGACAUCACCGUGAAUUCAUACAGUCCGUAUCGCGUGGUGAAUGCGGUCUUCGGGAUAUCUUCUUCACGGAUGCGCAACUGGUGAUAUCCGGAACGAAGAUCAAUCUUGGAGAAUACAGUGGCACCUUUAAGCUGAUCGAACAGAUCGUCGAUCCGGGGAAGAGAGUACUUGUUUUUGAUAGUAGCCUCAUUGAGAGCUCUGUAGUCAACGCACAUCCUCUUCGUCUUGUCUUUCUUCUCCACAAAGAUCACAGGAGCACCCCAGGGGGAAGUACUCGGCCAUAUAUACCCCUUUUCUUUCAACUCUUCCAACUGCUUCUUGACUUCGGCCAGUUCAUUUGCUGCCAUACGGUAGGGUCGCUUGUACAGAGGAGUGGUUCCUGGAGCAAGAUCUAUUCGGAACUCAAUCUUUCGCUUGGGCGGCAUACCUGGUAGUUCUUCCGGAAACACGUCUCCGAACUCUCUGACGAUGGGGGUUUCCGACAGUCCUAUCUGAUGAAGUUCUGAACUACUGACAGAGGUUGGGGGUGCAAAGAAAACAACCGGUUGUUCCGGCCCUCGGUACAGAGUGACAGUGCGUCUUGCACAAUCAACUACUCCUUGGAAUUGAGCCAACCAAUUCAUCCCAAGGAUCACAUCCAAGUUCUUGGUGUCUAGAAGAAUCAGAUCCGAGGGAAAAGGAAUUCCCUGAAUUUCUAUAGGAACGGCAGGGCUAUAAUACUUUGCUGUCAUAACCCCUCCAGGGGUGGUGAUGAGCAGAGGGUUCCUAAGCCUUUCUACCCCCAACUGAUUUCUCCCCACGAAUGGCACAGAUAUAAACGAGUGGGAAGCUCCAGAGUCGAACAAAAUGGUAGCAGGGAUGGAAUGAAUGAGGAACGUACCAACGAUGACGUCUGGAGUUGUCAGCACAUCCUCGGCAGUCACGUGGUUCACCCGACCCCGAAUGACAUCCUUACCACCGUUGUUGGGGCGGGGAGGCGCUUGGCCUUGCUGGCGCCUCGGCUUUGGGCAUUUAUCCGCAAAGUGCCCGGGCUCGAAGCAGUUGAAGCAUAGACGCUGCUGACCUUGAACGUCUCUGCGGCCUUGUCCAGGCUGCACGGCUGGCGUAGGAGGACGGGGCGCACGGGUCCCUUGCUGACUCUGCUGUUGCUGCGGCUGUGGGACGCGCACCACGAAUUGAGGUCGGGGCGCGGAGCGUGGUUGCUGCUGGUGUUGCUGCUGCUGCGAGGAGGAUCCCCCUGGAUAGGGAUUGGUGUAGUGGAUCCUUUGGUUAGCCCCCUGUUGGUGGCGGAAAUUCGCCAGGCGAUGCUUGUGCGACUCCAGUUCCUUGUGCUUGACUUCCAAGCGGAUGCUCUUGUCCACCAGACGUUGGAAAUCCGGAGAGUCCCCGGAGACUAGACGCACGGACAGCUCAGGGUCCAUUCCUGCCAAGAACUUCUCUUGCUUCUCCUCAUCUUCACGAACAUCCUCCGGGGCGUACCGGGCCAGGUUGUUAAACUCAUACAAAUACUCCAUCACGGAGCGGUUGCCUUGCUUCAACUCUCGGAAUUCCCUUUUCUUAAGGGCCAUGACUCCGGCGGGCACAUGGGUUCUCAGGAAAGCGGCGGUGAAGCGGGCCCAAGUAAUAGGCUGCCCCUCUGGCUGCGUUGCCUGGAAAUGGUCCCACCAUAGAGAUGCGGGCCCCUGCAGUUGGUGGGCGGCGAAGAUGACUUUCUCCUCAUCGCUGCACUGCACGGUGUCUAACUUUUUCCCCACGGCAUGCAACCAAUCCAACGCAUCCACGGGGUUAUUGGAGCUAGAGAAGGUAGGCGGAUGGAUGCGGAGGAACUCGGCGAGUUUAGAGUGUUGUGGGGGUGGUGGUGGAGCAUUAUGUUGUGGCGGAGUUUGGAUGUGGUGGAGGAAAGCAGCCAUCAUGUUGGCCUGCUGGGCUAGGAUUUGGGUGAGGAUGACGUUGGUGUCUGGUGGUGGUGGUGGAGGCGGGGGAGGAGGUGGAGGUGGGCUGCCAUGGUUGUUGUGGUUGCUGCCCUCGGGGUGACUGCCUUCACCGGUAGCAGCAUUUCUCCUGGUUGUCACCAUCUGAAAACCCCACACAGGACCAGCAAACAAAGAGAGCUGACAAUUAAAACUAACCACCCACGACUACCAUAAUUCUUGAAUUUCUUACUGCUAUUUGUCGCGUCCCAAAACGACCCUAAAAUAUAUCCUUAAAAUUAUGCCUAGAAUAAUUAAAAUCUGUGUGCAAGCCUUCAACAAUUAAAAUGUGCAAAGUUAAAAGUCAAAUAAGGCUUGGAGGAUUUUUGUAUAUUUCCUAAAAGCCUAAAAUGCGUAAAUAAAUUUUAGUGUAAUUUUCAUAGCACAAAUAAUAAUUGUUAAGAAAUAAACAAAGUUAAAAUGAUUUUAUAAAAAGAAAAACUUUAAAAAGUCCCCUUCCCCUCCCUCUCCCUCUUGGGCCGGCUCGGCCCAUCUCUCUCCCCCUCUCUCCUCUCCCCCGCGGCCCAUCCGGACUCUCCCCGCGCGCGCGCCGCUGACGGGCGGGCCCGCCCGCCACCCUCGCUGACGGGUGGGGCCCACCCGUCAUCCCCUUCCUCCCGCCGCUCCCGCCGCCCCGCCCGCGCCCUAGCGCCGCCGCCGCCGCGAAUCCCGCCGCCCCCGUCCUCCCCGCGUGCAAUCAAUAGGGGGGAAUUAUUCCCCGGGAUCCCCUCCCCCUUUCCCCCCAUUUUUCCGUCUCUCUCUCCCUCAGAUUCGUUUGGAAACCGCUCCCCUAACCUCGCCGGCGCCAUUAAUGGCGGCCGGGUGUCCCGCGCCCAUUUCCCCCUCCUCCGGCCGCCCUCUCUCACUCCCAACCCUAUAUAAACCCUCCCCGAGCUCCCCACCACCGUUUCCGCCACUCACCGCCCUCUCUCCCCGCCGGAAUCGAGCUCGCGCCGUCGCUCUCUCUCUCCGCCGUCGUCGUCGAGCUCCGGUCCGCCGCCGUCGUCGCCCCGGACCACCUCCCACCUCGGUGCCGCCUCCUUCGGCUUCGCCGCAUCCUCGCCGACCUCGUCCACCCCUCCGUUUCGCUCGUCGACCGCCGGAGCACCGUCGACCCCGUCCACCCGAGCCGCCCCGCCGCCUUCCUCCGCUCCGGUCGCCGUUUCCAUAGUCGCCGUCGACCCGGGGUGAGCCGUGGACCGCCGUUUCGUUUCCCCCUUUCCCUCCCCUCUCUCGGCCGCCGCUCCGCCGUGCCUAUGGCCGCCGUCGGCGACCAUAGGGGCGCGGGCGCGCCGCCUCCCGCCGGCCGCACCGACGUGGCCGCCUCCGGGCGCGCCUAGCGGCUGCCGCGUGGGGCCCGGCCGUCAGCCGCCCGCGCCCUUAGGUGCGGCUGACGCGUGGGGCCCACGGCGCCGGCCGGUGCGAGCCCGGGUGCGCCCGGUCCACCGUGGACCGUGAGGCUGCCGCGUGGGCCCCACUCCCGUGGACCCGGUCCGCGCGCCCCUCCCCUCGGCUGAUGCAAUAAACCCUUUUUAACUUAAAAUUUAAAUGAAGAAAUUCGCAAAUAUUCAUUUAAAGAGCAUAUAAACUUCAAAUGACCAUAACUUGGCCAUUUGAACUCGGAAUUGGACCGUUCAAGUCUCAAAUUUUUCCUUAAGAAGUCAAGAACCCAUUUUUGUGCUUUGUUUCUGCUUGUUAUAUGGAGUUUAUUAGAGUAAAAGCCUUUUCUUUUCCGUUGGUCGUGUAGACGCUGCAGCUUCGGAAGAUCCGCUCUUCGUAGAAGUUGAAGCCGACGUUUGGGAAAGCGAGCAAGGCAAGUCACAUCAUCCUUGAACACAUUGAAUCCCAGUUUAUAAAAUUAUGUUGAUUUAAAUUAUUGCAUUAUCGCUUUAUUUAAAUUCCCGCGUUAUCACUGUUUUGUUUAGACAUGCCUAUUCACCUUUGUUAUGACCUUAUUAUUGUUAUUGUUAUUAUUUCCUUGUUCACCCUAGGUUAAACAAAACCCCAACUAGUGGACACUCUACUCAUGGUACCACUAGUAUGAAUUUAGGUAGAUGCUUCGUCGGUUAAUUAGGCAACAUUAGGUGGUUUUACAACUCUAGACUUUGGGAAUAUUCUUAUCACCUGGACACUAUGGAAUUGUUGGAUUAUUGUGGAAUUGGAUUCACACCUCCCCCUCUAUUCAAAAUCCUCAAAAUGGUUUUAGGCUGGGCUCGGGGUGCAUGGUUUUGAUAGUAGCACCUCGGCCAUAUAAGGACCGGUCUUCGGGCCUCUGUUGCAAAGCACUACCGUACUUCCACAUGUCUAGUGGGUAAGGCUUAGUUUGUGGCUUAGUCUGGUUAUAAACAAAAGUACACGGAUGGAGAUGGACGAAGUCGGGGGUCGAUGGACAUCUCUAGGACAAAUGAAGGCUACACGAGCUGCGGCUCGGUAGUCGAGAUGUCAUGGCACAGGGCCGGUGUCCUGCUGCUAGGGGCUCAGUCCUGCCUACCUGUCCCGGAGGUUCCGGCCAUAGGUGGGGUUGGGUCGGUACUCUUGUCUAUGGCUAGAAUGGGUUGGAAACUAUGUCACGUCUUCCGUCCGUAUACUGUGGUGGUAUGUGGCACGUGGUUACACGUGAGAAAGAUGUGUCUUGUGGGUAAAGAUGUACACCUCUGAUCAGAGUAUAAUCUAUUCGAAUAGCCGCACCCUCGGUUAUGGGCAAGCCGAGCAAUGUACCCAAGUUAGUGUUUUAAUUCUUAAAACCUGCUUAACAACUAAAAUGUGGAAUGGUUGGCCUGGGUUGGCUUGGGACGAGCUGGGACCCAGGGUCGGGUUGCCAGUUCGGUCUGAAUCAUCGUAGGCCUUGGGUUAAGGCAGGUUCGUGUGGGUUCACGGCCUUGAUUAAUAAUAUUGUAUAGUUCUAGAAUCGUGUUUACAAAAUAGCUUUGAGCAACUAAGUGUCUUUUAAUGCCGUUUACUGCAAACCCUAACCCUUUAUAUUAUAACCCCCUUGUACUCCCUUGCAUUUAUUCUGCACUUGUGGGUGUGUCUUGUUGAGUACGGUGGUUGUACUCAGUCUUGCUCAAUUUUUCCCAAACCCAGAAGAGGAGCCCCUGGAAGAUGAAGGCUUUGGUGUCUAGCUCGUGCCUGCCGUCAAGCGCCUGUGGUUGUCGCCCUAGUCUUCCGUUGUUUCCCGUUUGUCUUUGUGUGUGCUGGGCCUUCGCCGCCCAUGUAAUAAAUUAACUAUUUACGCUUCCGCUUGUUGAACUCUGAACUGAGAUUAAAUGAUUGUAUGAUGCUGGUUUUAUUCGUCCUUGCCGAUACGCUGAAUGGGUUUCUAGUAUAGUUCCAGUUACUAAGAAGAAUGGCAAGGUCAGGGUGUGCAUUGAUUUCUGAGAUCUGAAUAAAGCUACACCGAAGGACGAAUACCCAAUGCCAGUAGCCGAUCAGUUGGUUGAUGCUACAUCAGGGAACAAGAUUUUGAGUUUUAUGGAUGGGAACGCAGGAUAUAAUCAAAUCUUUGUGGCUGAAGAAGAUAUCCAUAAGACAACUUUUAGAUGCCCUGGUGCAUUCGGCUUAUUUGAGUGGGUCGUCAUGACUUUCGGCUUGAAGAGUGCUGGAGCUACAUAUCAAAGAGCCAUGAAUUAUAUAUAUCAUGAUUUAAUCUGCUGGUUGGUUGAAGUCUAUAUCGAUGAUGUGGUUGUUAAGUCUAAAGAAAUAGAGGACCACAUAGCCAAUUUGAGGAGGGUUUUUGAGAGAACCAGAAAAUAUGGUGUGAAGAUGAAUCCGACAAAGUGUGCUUUUGGUGUAUCGGCCUACCAAUUUUUGGGAUUUCUUGUUCAUGAAAGAGGGAUCGAGGUAACUCAAAGGAAUGUUAAUGCGAUGAAGAAGAUUCAGCCUCCGGAGGAUAAGACAGAAUUACAAGAGAUGAUCGGCAAGAUAAAUUUUGUUAGGAGGUUUAUUUCUAAUUUGUCUGGAAGGUUAGAACCUUUUACACCAUUGUUGCGAUUGAAAGCCGAUCAGCAGUUUACUUGGGGGGCAGAGCAGCAAAAGGCUUUGGAUAAUAUUAAGGAAUAUCUUAGCUCUCCUCAUGUUUUGAUUCCUCCACAGAAAGGGAUACCAUUUAGGCUAUAUUUAUCAGCCGGUGAGAAGUCAAUCGGCUCAGUAUUGAUUCAGGAGUUGGAAGGGAAGGAACGAGUUGUAUUCUAUCUCAGCCGUCUGCUCUUAGAUGCUGAAACUCGGUACUCCCCUGUGGAGAAGUUAUGCUUGUGUCUAUAUUUUUCGUGUACAAGGUUGAGGCAUUAUCUACUAUCUAACGAGUGUACUAUUAUAUGCAAAGCCGACGUAGUCAAGUACAUGCUAUUGGCUCCAAUAUUAAAAGGAAGGGUUGGAAAAUGGAUAUUUUCUUUAACCGAGUUUGAUCUUCGGUAUGAGUCGCCGAAGGCGAUUAAGGGACAAGCUAUAGCCGAUUUUAUUGUGGAACAUCGUGAUGAUUCAAUCGGCUCGGUUGAAAUAGUGCCAUGGACUUUAUUCUUUGAUGGAUCGGUGUGCACUCAUGGUUGUGGUAUUGACCUAGUUAUAAUUUCCCCUAGGGGGGCAUGUUUCGAGUUUGCUUAUACUAUUAAACCGUAUGCGACUAAUAAUCAAGCUGAGUAUGAGGCAGUGCUCAAAGGGUUGCAAUUACUCAAGGAAGUUAAAGCCGAUACCAUUGAAAUCAUGGGGGAUUCUUUGCUAGUAAUGAGUCAAUUGGCAGGAGAGUAUGAAUGCAAGAAUGAUACAUUGAUGGUUUAUAAUGAGAAGUGCCAAGAACUAAUGAAGGAGUUUCGGCUGGUUACUUUAAAGCAUGUCUCUCGAGAACAAAAUAUUGAAGCUAAUGAUUUGGCCCAAGGGGCAUCAGGGUAUAAGCCGAUGAUCAAAGAUGUUAAGGUUGAGAUUGCAGCAAUGACAGCCGAUGAUUGGAGGUAUGAUGUGCAUCAGUAUCUAUACCUAUACUAAUCGGGCACUUUUUUGAAGCUCUCACGUUAACCAGAAAGAUCUGAGCGUCAAUUAGAUAAGUCGUUUAAUCUACACCGUAGAUCCUGUAAUACUUUAACAUCGUGGGCCAAUCAAUCUUAAACUCAGUGGGCUCCUUGCAAAUCCUAUCUAUCCAGUUAUCGAUGGAAGGACAGAACCCAUCUAAUUUAUCUCCAAGUUCCAUCGUGAGAAAUCAGGAACGCGAUCGAGAACGUGAGCGAGGGCGACGAGAUAUGCAUAGGCUGCAGUCGACCUUGAUCCCAGACUGUGGUCCCGAUCAGCGACAAUUUGCCUCAAUCACGAGGAGAAGUUAAAAGUUUCCAGUGAAUCAGUGAUCGCUCCAGAGGUAUCGUUCAUCCCUGUUAAGUCUCUGGUUUGACGUACUGUUUUUACUCCAUAAAGAUUGAAUAAAUUUUAACCUGAAACGAAAUUUAACCAAAUGAAUUUUGGGAGAAAAAAGUUUGCUACAAAAUAAAAAAUUACUUGCACAUCCGUCACUGCAUCUGCUACAGAUCUAUUGCUGCAUCUACAAUAUACAUAUAUACGUAUUCCUUUGAAUUUGCAUGGUUUGCAUGUUCAAUUUGCAAUACAUAUUUAGCAGUCUAUUUAAUUAGGACGCAUUCAAUUUAUGGUUUUGAUUGGAAUGAUCAACUAUUUGCUGAUCAUCUUUUACAUAUUGAAUGUGUUUUUUUAUUCCAUUAAACUUGCAAGUUCUAAGUUGUCAAUUCUGAUUUUCACAAGUUGUUUAAUGACAGUAGAAGCAGAUAAAAAUAUAUUGAUCUAUAAUUCUCUGAAUGCAAUCAACUAUAUUUAAUUUUCCAUAUGCUUGGUAUAUCCCGUAUGCAAUGCAUAUGUACAUGUAGUUUGCAGCUUACUGUUCAGUGUUCAUGUUCAUUCGUUUGGGUUAGUCCUUAUAUCAAUUUUUCCUAACAAGUAUUUCAGUUAAUAUAUAGAGCUUCAUUUACAAGUAUAAUUUAGCAGCCUAAUUUGGAGAUACAUUUUCUUUUAUGAAAACCGAAGGGUAACUACAAUAUAUUGCAUACACUUGCAUUGUAGUUAAUUACACGCUAAAUUUCAAAACAUAAACUAUAAUUACAUUAUAAGUUUCAAUAUUUACCUUUUGUUUUUUAGUACACAGUUUAUAAGAAUUAGGAGUAAAAUUAAUUUAAUUAUUAUCUACUUGGAAGAGGAAAUGGGAGAGAGAGAGAGAAGCAUACUUACUAGAGUAUCAUAUAGGAUACAUGACGUGACUGAAACUAAGACCCCCGUAAUUUUAGCAAUCCUGACUCUUUGGUAUAAAUAUUCUUCUCGAUAAUCAUGCGACGUAAAGAGAACGAAAUUCAGAAUUAAUCAUACACACGGUUUAUCCAUUUGAACUAGCUAGAAACCUACUAAGCGAAUAAUCAUGCACGUAAACAAAUAUUUAUCAUGUACUACGUAGGUUCAUAUGAGUAUUACUUGCAGCAAGAGUAAACAAUCUAGGCUUGAUCUGAUAGACGUGACCAAAUUCACGUUAAAUAGCAUGUAUCGUGGCAAAAUCGCAAAAUCACAACAUUAGGUUUUAUUUAGGGUUUGUGAAAAAAUAAAACAUGCAAUUGGCAAUAUCGUGGACUCUUUAAUUUGUACUUAACCGGUACAAAUAGAGAAGAGACUAUAGAUCACUAAUUAUUAUUAUGAGUUUUGGGAAUGAUAAAACAAAAAAGCUAAUUACAUAUAUCUUAUAUCUUCUAGGGUCCAUACUGAGUAUAACUAUUUUUUUUUAAUUUCAAAAUUAUUAAAUUACAGGGUGUACUUAAAUUUAAACUCGACCACAGACACAACUAAAUACUUAAUUAAUUCCAGAAUUCCACAAUAUCAAAUAAAAAAGUUGGAUGUAUCAUAAAUUUAGCAUUUGUUUGAUUCAAAAUUAAUAAUUAACAAGUAGUAUUCAUUCUGUACCAAAAUAUAACAACUUCUAGCCAUUAGAAUUUGUCCCAAAAUAUAACAAUUUACCACCAACAUUCUCUUCUUAACGAAUCACAAUCCUCCAUCAUUCAAUUUUUCCAGCUAUCUCCACUUCUCCUUCAGCCACAACACUCCCCUAUUUAAUUGUACCAACUUUCUUAAUAACCAUUGUCUAACUCUAAAAAUGCUUAUAUUCUGGGACGAAGGGAAUAGUUAACUAUUAUUUCAAUCUAACAUGCUACAAUUCGAAUAUGGCCAACGUAGUGAACGUAUGGUUAAAAUUUUGAUCUUUAUACUACCAAUACCAAUAACCCGUGCAAGGCACGGGUUGACAGCUAGUUUGCAUAAUCCGUCUCAAUCGGCUUCUAGGAAAUUGAGAUAUAAGUCAUUAAAGUAUACACUGUUGGAUGAUGAGCUUUAUUAUCGGACGGUUGAUGGAGUAUUACUCAUGUGCUUGAGUGCCGAUCAGGCUAAGAUUGCAAUCGGCGAAGUUCAUGAAGGAAUUUGUGGUACUCAUCAAUCGGCUCAUAAGAUGAAGUGGUUGCUUCGGCGUGCAGGGUACUUUUGGCCGACAAUGCUGGAGGAUUGUUUCAGAUAUUAUAAGGGGUGUCAAGAUUGUCAGAAGUUUGGAGCAAUUCAGAUAGCGCCGGCAUCGGCUAUGAAUCCUAUUAUUAAGCCAUGGCCAUUCAGAGGUCGGGGAAUUGAUAUGAUCGGUAUGAUAAACCCACCAUCAAGUAAAGGACAUAAAUUUAUAUUGGUGGCGACUGAUUAUUUCAGCAAGUGGGUGGAGGCGAUUCCUUUGAAGAAAGUUGAUUCUGGGAUGCCAUUCAAUUCGUUCAAGAACAUAUAAUCUACCGAUUUGGUAUUCCUCAAACUAUUACUACCGAUCAGGGUUCAAUCUUUGUGUCCGAUGAGUUUGUUCAGUUUGCCGAUAGCAUGGGUAUCAAAUUGUUGAAUUCUUCACCUUAUUAUGCACAAGCUAAUGGGCAAGCCGAGGUGUCUAAUAAAAGUUUGAUCAAAUUGAUUAAGCGGAAAAAUUCUGAUUAUCCUCGGCAAUGGCAUACUAGGUUGGCCGAAGCAUUGUUGUCUUAUAGGAUGGCUUGUCAUGGAUCGAUCCAAGUCCCUCCUUACAAACUUGUUUAUGGGCAUGAGGCUGUUUUGCCAUGGGAGGUUAGAAUCGGCUCUCGAAGAACGGAAUUACAAAAUGAUUUAACAGCUGAUGAGUAUUACAACCUUAUGGCCGAUGAGAGGGAGGAUCUGGUUCAGUCACGAUUGCGAGCCCUUGCGAAGGUUACCAAGGAUAAGUAGUGUGUUGCUCGGCAUUAUAAUAAGAAAGUGGUACCUAAAGUUUUUUUGGAAGGAGAACUUGUAUGGAAGUUGAUUUUGCCGAUUGGUACUCGUGAUAGUAGAUUCGGCAAGUGGUCGCCGAAUUGGGAAGGACCAUUCCAAAUUUAUAAGGUUGUGUCUAAGGGAGCAUAUAUGUUGCAAGGGCUUGAUGGUGAAGUUUAUGGGCGAGCGCUCAAUGCCAAAUUUUUGAAGAAGUAUUACCCAAGUGUUUGGGUUAACGCAUGAGCGGCUCGUAUUGCCGAUGCAUGACAGCCGAUGUGUUUACAUCGCCUUAAGAUGGCCGAUAUGGUUAUAUUGCCCUUAGUUGUUUUCCAUUGUGUAAUCGGUUGUGGUUUGCCGAUGUACAAUGGCCGAUGUGGUUAUAUCGCCCUUAGUUGUUUUCCAUGGUGUAAUCGGUUGUGGUUUGCCGAUGUACAAUGGCCAAUAUUGUUAUAUCGCCCUUAGUUGUUUUAUAAUUUUCUCAAUGCUUUUGGCAUUGUAAAAUUAGGGGGGCAACUAUAUAUCAAAAUGCAAUGCAAAUUUUGCAAAUUUUGUUUGAGCAAAUUUUUUGAGCAAAUUUCAAAGUCAUGUUAGUCGGCAUAAAGGAUUGUCAAGACCGUAAAGUAUUAGAACGUCUUAGCCGACUACAAAAUUUUCUAAGACCUACUACAUGGAAAGUCAUUGAGACAAGUAUUGCUAGAUAGCCAAUAUAGCUUUCUGCCUAAUCUGUUCUACUUCUUCUAUGGCUUGGGCAUCUUGAGCGUCAGUUCCAGGGAUAACUUUCGAGGACUUGGUCAUAUCAGCGACAUUCUUGAUAGCCGAUUUUAGCUUUGUCUUCUGUUCUUCAACAGCUUGCGGGAGAUCGGCUAGCUUUUUGUGCUCCAUAUCCAGCUCGGCGUUGCAUUCUUGAAGUUGUGCCAUGAGAUCAAUCUUACGAGCUUAAAGCCGAUCGAUAUUUGACUUGAUCGGGCCUCCAGACAGCUGAUCAAGCUUGGACUUCUCUACAUGCACAAGCUGCCGAUUGUGCUGGAUUGUAGCUUUAAUAUCUUUGCGUUCCCGGUGAUCGGCUAAUCUCUGCCUAGCCUUCUCUAGCUUGAAUCGGUGUUGCUCAAGGCAAACGGCUGGAGUAAGGGCAUCGGCUAGUUCAUCUGGGAGUAGAGCUUGGAUGUCUGUAAACCUUGCCCGGAUCGAGCCACAGUUGGUCACCAAGUUGUCUAGUGAUGCUUCUAGCCGAUGAGAAAUAUCUUCCAGUGUUUUUCUCACAUCAUCGGAUAGGGGAGCUAAGGCUUUGCUUGAAGUAUCUUCUUUUGCUUCAUCAAGGUAAUCUCUGAUGUCAAAAGAGAAGAGAUCGGCUAGAACCUGCAGAUACAAUUCCGGAAAGAGUAAGAGCUGAGUAAAAUUUAGCCGAUCAGAUGGUUGAGACAAAGGAAAACUUACUGGGAUAGCAGGGGCAGCUGGUUGUUCUUCUUCCUCAAUGUGAUGACUCCUCACAGCCGAUGGAGUCUGGUCACUUGACGGUUGCUGUACAGGAGGAGAAGAAGGAGGAGGCUGAAGAAUAGACAAGUGUUAUAUAGAGCCAGUUGAGUUUGAUUAAGUAAAAGAAUUAAAGACAUCUUACUGGUGGAGCCGACUUGACAAUCGUUGCUGUUGACUUUUUCUUCACAGCAGUUUUCUUUUUCUACAACCAUAACUUCUAUAAGUAAUUAGCCGAAGAGGGAAGUAAUUUUAGAAGAAGUCAAAGAGAGAUACUUACCCUUGUAAAAUGAACGGGGGCAGAAGGAGUUGGAGGCGUUUGCUUGGGUGAAGCCGAUGGUGUUCUUUCUGUGUCACUCAUUUCGGCUACAGCCUGGUCAACAUCUUCACCAAUUUCCUCUUCAUCUAAGGCUUGUUCAAUAGAUGGAUCCAAGGCAGGCAGAUCAUCAGCCGGCUUAUCAGUUGGCUUGGUUUUCUUGAAUUUGGCCUUUUUCUUUGGAGCUAAGACCAAGGUACUCACGGCUGAUGAUCUGGUUUUCCUUUUCUUGCCUGCAUCGGCUGGUUCCCUGGUUAGGCCGUGAAGGAGAUUUGAAGUCUUGGGGGCAUGGUAGCCGAUAACAGGGGGAGAUAGUUCACCUCCAUUCAGAAUUAGACCUGAAGCAUAUUCAAUAUUCUUGCCACUGUUACUUUGAUGAGGAGGGGAGGACUCUGUUGUCUGCAGAAUAGGAGCAAAAGAUUAGUCAAGUAAUGAAUCGGCUAACUGAUUAUGCAAUUUGGUAAGGACAAAGUUUACCUGGGGUAUGACGUCAGGGAAUAGAUCUGUCAUAUACAUUGUAGCCGAUCGAUGAAAUAGAUGCAGCUUCCAUUCACCCCACCAUUUGUCAAAGUUUUUGCUUCUAAAUCUUGCCAACUCAAUAUUAUCAAUGCUGCCCAGAGGAGGUCCUGGUAGGUUAAGUAGCCGAUCGAUCAUUAGAGUGGAUGUGAUUUGUCCUCGACUACAAUAACAUCGGCUGAGUCUGAGUCGGACUAGGUGGGCCGAUGUAGCCGAUCCCGAAAAUACGACUUGAUGUGUGAUGUCAUGUUGGAUUGAGGUGCUUCAAGGUGAUUGCCGCACAUGGAUAGAGUCAUAAGGAGGCGAUUGUAUCUAUUAAUUAGAUGUUUUAUGUAAUUUCCUUAGAGAUACGUUUGGGCAAAAAGUCUGCCGCAAAGACUUAUGGUAUCUUAGAGUUUGUUAGAGAUAGUAGUCAUGUCCGUUAUGGACAUAUCUUGUAAUUCUCGAGUAUAAAUAGACCCGAGCCCUAUGUAACUUUUUAACACACACGUUCAAGACAAUUUUGGUGCAUCGCCACCCUUUUGCUUUAGUUUUGUUUCGACGAGUUCUUGCUUUCGGGUUGAGCUGCAUCGGUUUCGAUCUUCAAUAAGAGGUAAAACUUGUUAUGACGAUUUGUGUUCUCAGGAUUAGUGCUUCCAUCUUUAUGAUACUCUAAUCUUGUUUAUGUAAUUCGUCGAGUUAUCAUAUAUUUUACAUAAUCUCUGGCAAUAUCGCUAUCUAACCUACGAUCGGCUAACAUCUGUCGGUGGAGGACAGCCGAUUAGGUUAGAUUCCGACGUUGAUUUAGAUUAUGUAAGAUGUCUACCACUCUAUGAAACUCCCAGCGGCUUGAUUGUCUAGAUAUUGUUCUUCUUUUCAUACUUAAUGCUGCAUCAGCUUAGUUUGAUCUAUUAAGUCGUGCUUAGAAUAUCAAUCUCUAGCCUACCUUCUGGUUGUCGAUUAGCGUUGUAUCGGAGUUUUAGCCGAUCUUACUUGAUUUAACUAUAUUUGCUCUAUAUGCUUUGGUGAUACGUUAAAUCUGCCCUUUUGGUCAAGAUAUUAUCGCAUCUAAGGAUACUAAGCUUUUGUUUAGCAUAUUCUUCUUGUUUUAACAUCUUAAUAUAGAAUUGUAUCGGAGUAUUAGCCGAUACAUGCUAGAUCUAUCUGAUCGGCUAUGCUGUGAACAUAUAUAGUCCUUUUAUUAAUGUAUAUUUCGAUCUAAGUGAUUUAUACUGUCUCGGUAUGGCGACCGAUCUAUCCCAAUCACUUGAUUUUAUGUAUACAUCGAUAUAAGAACUAUAUAUUGUUGAUAUCUACAGCCGAUCGGGUAGAUUUAGUUCUUUAUUACUUAUUUACAACUGCCGAUCGAUUCACAUGUCAUCGGCUCAAAGAUAAAUGAUAUGUCAUCGGUGCCUAGCCGAUCGACUAUCAUUUAUAGAUUUAACCGCGGUUUCUUUGCUUCUACUUCUUGUUGAUUACAGGAUCAAAUCAACUGGCACGCUAGCACACCCGAAGGUGAGCUUUGGACCUAUACUGGAGUUAAGCAGAUCUCCCAGGCCUCGUGUUUUCUGUCAACAGAUAUAAAUGGAGCGUAUAAAGGAUGUCUAUCCUUUUAUUCCAAUAAGAACAAACACAAAGCACAUAUGGCAAAUACUAAAUCCACUACAACAAAAUCAAAGACCAUACAAAGCAUGUAAAGAUGUAGCAAUCCACAUUGAUUCUUCAUCCACUACUAAACCAAGCACAUAUGAAAGGCCGCAUAUGCAUGAUCAUUGUGAAUAUGACAUGCCCUUGUCGAGCAAAGGUGUCACUUCAUGCAAAUAUGUUGUUUCAAGCGACAUCAAUAUAUGGUUACAAAAUUUUAAACAUUGGUAUAUUAAUGACUUUCAUAUAUGCAUAUUAAUUUCAAUUGAAAGACAUCUUGUUGUCCAUCAUUCCUAACAAGAGGUAGUGUACAAGGCAUUAUUUAGUUGAGCUCUCGCUCACUUUGCAUCACAGAAGCAUAACCUAGACAUAGGUAAUUCAUUAUAGAAUCAAAAACUGCAGCAGCAACAAUGAGGGUAAAAACUAGAAAGAAGGAUUUAUUAUGUUCCUUAGUUUAUUCAGCCACGAAAGAGUGACUUAAAAAAAUGUACACUUCUUCCAAAGUGAAAAUUAUGGGAUGUCUUACUUAUGGAAUGCUCCUACACACUGAGGUUGUUCUUGCUGACCCCUCGUUUCUAUGAGAAGUUUAUUAUAACAUACCAAGUCGAUAGUUUAAUGCAAACAAAUUGGAUAAUAAACCUGAUGUUUCAACAAAACUACAGGAACUCACGCAUGAUGUACCCAAAGGUAACUGGUUCUUGACACACUACAAAUCUAUGGUAGUCCUUUUCCAUCUCGAAGACGAAUCAACGCUGUGUUUAGAAUCAGCUGUUCCCAACAUGCGAAUUGCGCACAGAAAACGGAGCGCUCCAUUAGAGCGUGAUUAAUUAAGUAUUAGCUUUUUUUUUUCAAAAAUGGGUCCAUAUGAUUUUUUGAAGCAACUUUUGUAUAGAAACCUUUUGCAAAAAACACACCGUAUAGCAGUUUGAGAAGCUUGCGCGCGGAAUACGAUGGAGAUGGGUUGGGAACCCUGGAUUCCAAACACAGCCCAAGUCUAUCCAAAAUGUUUAAACAAGAAAAUACGUAACAAGUUGGUUUACAGAAAUACGAAUUAGAUCAAUCCUGCACUACAAGUAGAGUAAAGUGGUGAUUUCUCUUAAAUCUCUCGAAUGGUGAUUUAAGAAUUCAGUGCAAACCAAAUCCUUGCUAUAAUCAAAUGUUCGGUACCGCAUCAAUGGAACAAUAAAAAGCGCCUGGCGUACCAUAAUUUUGUCAUUCUUGUUGAAAUUUGUAAUUUAAGAUGCAUGAGGCCACACGACCUUAAUGUUCAACGUGUCAUGCAUUAGUGAAAUAAUAGCUCACAAAACGCAACAAAUAUAGCUAGAUAACUGUCGCGUCCCAAAACGACUCUAAAAUACAUCCUCGAAAUUGUGCCGAGAAUAAUUAAAAUUCUUGUGAAAGCCUCCAACAAUUAAAAUGUGCAAAUGUAAAAGUCAAAUAAGGCUUGGAGGAUUUUUGUAUAUUUCCUAAAAGCCUAAAAUGCGUAAAUAAAUUUUAGUGGAAUUUUCAGAGCACAAAUAAUAAUUGAGAAGAAAUAAACAAAGUUAAAAAGGUUUAUAAAAAGAAAAUCCCUAAAAGUCUUCUUUCCCCCCACCUUUUCCCUCUUGGGCCGGCUCGGCCCAAUUCCCUCCCUCUCUGUCCUCUCCCCCGCGGCCCAUCAGCCUCCUCCCCGCGCGCGCGCCGCUGACAGGCGGGCCCGCCCGCCACCCUCGCUGACGGGUGGGGCCCACCUGUCAUCCCCUACCUCGCGCCGCUCCCGCCGCCCGCCCGUGCCCUAGCGCCGCCGCCGCCGCCGAAUCCGCCGCAUCCCGCCGUCCCCGCGCGCCAUAAAGAGGGGGAAAUCACUCCCCGUGAUUCCCUCUCCCUUUCCCCCCGUUUUUCCCUCUCUCUCUCCCUCGGAUUCGUUCGGAUUUACUCCCGCAAUCCUCGCCGGCGCAAUCAAUGGCGGCCGAGAUUUCCGCGGCCGAUUCCUUCCUCUCCGGCCGCCCUCUCUCCCUCCCGACGCUAUAUAAUCGCUCCUCGUGCUUCGCUCCUCCGUUUCCGCCACUCGCCGCUCACUCUCCCCGUCGGAUUCGUGCCCGCGCCGUCUUCCUCUCUCUCCGCCGUCGCCGCCGAGCUCCAGUUCGCCGCCGUCGUCGCUCCGGACCUCCUCCCGACUCGGCGUCACCUCCUUCGGCUUCGCCGCGUCCCCGUCGACCUCGUCCACCCCUUCGUUUCGCCCGCCGACUGUCGGAGCGCCGCCGUCCUCGUCGAUCCGAACCGCGCCGCCGCCUUCCUCCGCUCCGGUUGUCGUUUCCGCCGUCCUCGUCGUCCCGGGGUGAGCCGUGGACCGAGAGGCUGACGCAUGGGCCCCACUCCCGUGGACCCGGUCCGCGCGCCCUCUCUCUCGGCUGACGCAAUAAACCUGAUUUUUAAUUAAAAUUUAAAUGAAGAAAUUCGCAAAUAUCCAUUUAAAGAGCAUAUAAACUUCAAAUGGCCAUAUCUUGGCCAUUUGAACUCGGAAUUGGACCGUUCAAGUCUCUAAUUUUUCCUUAAGAAGUCAAGAACCCAUUUUUGUGCUUUGUUUCUGCUGUUAUGUGGAGUUUAUUAGAGUAAAAGCCUUUUCUUUUCCGUUGGUCGUGUAGACGCUGCAGCUUCGGAAGAUCCGCUCUUCGUGGAAGUUGAAGCCGACGUUUGGGAAAGCGAGCAAGGCAAGUCACAUCAUCUUUGAACAUAUUGAAUCCCAGUUUGUAAAAUUAUGUUGAUUUAAAUUAUUGCAUUAUCGCUUUAUUUAAAUUCCCGCGUUAGCACUGUUUUAUUUAGCCAUGCCUAUUUACCUUUGUUAUGACCUUAUUAUUGUUAUUGUUAUUAUUUCCUUGUUCACCCUAGAGUAAACAAAACCCCAACUAGUGGACACUCUACUCAUGGUACCACUAGUAUGAUUUUAUGUAGAUGCUUCGCUAUUUAAUUAGGUAACAUUAGGCGGUUUUACAACUCUAGACUUUGGGAUAUUCAUAUCACCUGGACACUCUGGAAUUGUUGGAUCAUUGUGGAAUUGGCUUCACACCUCCCCCUCUAUUCAAAAUCCCCAAAAAUGGUUUUAGGCUGGGCUCGGGGUGCAUGGUUUUGAUGGUAGCACAUCGGCCAUAUAAGGACCGGUCUUCGGGCCUCUGUUGCAAAGCACUACCGUACUUCCACAUGUCUAGUGGGUAAGGCUUAGUUUGUGGCUCAGUCUAGUCAUAAACAAAAGUACACGGAUUGGAGAUGGAUGAAGUUGGGGGUCGAUGGACAUUCUCCAGGGUAAAUGAAGGCUACACGAGCUGCGGCCCGGUAGUCGAGAUGUCAUGGCACAGGGCCGGUGUCCUGCUGCUAGGGGCUCAGUCCUGCCUGCCUGUCCCGGGGGUUCCGGCCGUAGGCGGGAUUGGGUCGGUACUCUUGUCUAUGGCUAGGAUGGGUUGGAAACUAUGUCACGUCUUCCGUCUGUAUACCGUGGUGGUAUGUGGCACGUGGUUGCACGUGAGGAAGAUGUGUCUUGUGGGUAAAGAUGUACACCUCUGAUCAGAGUAUAAUCUAUUCGAAUAGCCGCGCCCUCGGUUAUGGGCAAGCCGAGCAAUGUACCCAAGUUAGUGUUUUAAUUCUUAAAACCUGCUUAACAACUAAAAUGUGGAAUGGUUGGCCUGGGUUGGCUUGGGACGAGCUGGGACCCAGGGUCGGGUUGCCAGUUCGGUCUGAAUCAUCGUAGGCCUUGGGUUAAGGCAGGUUCGUGUGGGUUCACGGCCUUGAUAAUUAAUAUUGUAUAGUUCUAGGAUCGCGUUUACAAAAUAGCCUCGAGCAACUAAAUGUCUUUAAAUGCUGUUUACUGCAACCCUAACCCUUUAUAUUAUAAUUCCCUUGUACUCCCUUGCAUUUAUUCUGCAUUUGUGGGUGUGUCUUGUUGAGUACGGUGGUUGUACUCAGUCUUGCUCAAUUUUUCCCAAGCCCAGAAGAGGAGCUCCUUGAAGAUGAAGGCUUUGGUGUCUAGCUCGUGCCUGCCGUCAAGCGCCUGUGGUCGUCGCCCUAGUCUUCCGCUGUUUCCCGUUUGUCUUUGUGCGUGCUGGGCCUUCGCUGCCCAUGUAAUAAGUUAACUAUUUACGCUUCCGCUUGUUAAACUCUGAAUUGUAUCAACUUUUGGUGUACCUUGCCUCCUGGGACAAGGAUUAAUGCACGCACGUAAGGAACGCCCGUUGGGUUAAUUCCGGUCGUGACAAUAACGGUUGCAAUCCUUACCAAACUAACGUAUAAAGUGAGCGAUGAGUCAUAUCAUUAUCUCCCGCCUGCUAACCAUCGUGUACACCAUCCGAUCCCAAAAAUGACAACUUCUAGGGAUGAACCUGGACAAGGUUUAGGGUUUAGGGAUGAAUCUGGACAAAUGAUUGUUCAGGUUCAUCCCUAGAUGUUGGUUUCUCCUUACGGGACGGAGGGAGUAUAUGUGAUGUACACAAAAGUUACUUUCAUGAUGAAACCAAAGGGGAUUUGUUGGGGCACCUAAUAGAACAUCUGUCCAAAUGGCAUGACUCACUUAUAUCCUAAUAGGACAUCCAAGAAAAACUAACACUCUAAAGCAACCGAUGAGGAAUUGAAAGAAAAUACGUGCCACCGCAUCUAUAAAUGGACAAGCGCAAUGGAAACCCUCCUCAUCAUUCACACAGUUCAAGCAUUAUUCAGCAAAAUAGAAAGAUCUAGUGUCCCGCAGCAAUGAAGAUCAUUUUCGUCUUUGCUCUCCUUGCUAUUGCUGCAUGCAGCGCCUCUGCGCAGUUUGAUGUUUUAGGUCAAAGUUAUAGGCAAUAUCAGCUGCAGUCGCCUGUCCUGCUACAGCAACAUGUGCUUAGCCCAUAUAAUGAGUUCGUAAGGCAGCAGUAUGGCAUAGCGGCAAGCCCCUUCUUGCAAUCAGCUGCGUUUCAACUGAGAAACAACCAAGUCUGGCAACAGCUCGCGCUGGUGGCGCAACAAUCUCACUAUCAGGACAUUAACAUUGUUCAGGCCAUAGCGCAGCAGCUACAACUCCAGCAGUUUGGUGAUCUCUACUUUGAUCGGAAUCUGGCUCAAGCUCAAGCUCUGUUGGCUUUUAACGUGCCAUCUAGAUAUGGUAUCUACCCUAGGUACUAUGGUGCACCCAGUACCAUUACCACCCUUGGCGGUGUCUUGUAAUGAGUUUUAACAGUAUAGUGGUUCGGAAGAUAAAAAUAAGCUCAGAUAUCAUCAUAUGUGACAUGUGAAACUUUGGGUGAUAUAAAUAGAAAAAAAGUUGUCUUUCAUAUUUAAAUACCAUGCCUCUAUAAGGAUAUAUCCUAGUACGUUGUCGUGACUAAUUACCAUCAUCGGUACUCUACAAUUUUACUGUGUGCUUACAUUCGAUCCGAAGCUACUUUGUUUUUUAGAUAGAAAUGGAGCGUAUAAAGGAUGUCCGUCCUUUUAUUCCAAUAAGAACAAACACAAAGCACAUAUGGAAAAUACUAAAUCCACUACAACAAAAUCAUAGACCAUACAAAGCAGGUAAAGAUGUAGCAAUCCACAUUGAUUCUUCAUCCACUACUACAACAAGCGCAUAUGAAAGGCCGCAUAUGCAUGAUCAUUGUGAAUAUGACAUGCCCUUGUCGAGCAAACGUGUCACUUCAUGCAAAUAUGUUAUUUCAAGCGACAUCAAUAUAUGGUUACAAAAUUUUAAACAUUGGUAUAUUAAUGACUUUCAUAUAUGCAUAUUAAUUUCAAUUGAAAGACAUCUUGUUGUCCAUCAUUCCUAACAAGAGGUAGUGUACAAGGCAUUAUUUAGUUGAGCUCUCGCUCACUUUGCAUCACAGAAGCAUAACCUAGACAUAGGUAAUUCAUUAUAGUAUCAAAAACUGCAGCAGCUACAAUGAGGGUAAAAACUAGAAAGAAGGAUUUAUUAUGUUCCUUAGUUUAUUCAGCCACGAAAGAGUGACUUAAAAAAAUGUACACUUCUUCCAAAGUGAAAAUUAUGGGAUGUCUUACUUAUGGAAUGCUCCUACACACUGAGGUUGUUCUUGCUGACCCCUCGUUUCUCUGAGAAGUUUAUUAUAACAUACCAAGUCGAUAGUUUAAUGCAAACAAAUUGGAUAAUAAACCUGAUGUUUCAACAAAACUACAGGAACUCACGCAUGAUGUACCCAAAGGUAACUGGUUCUUGACACACUACAAAUCUGUGGUAGUCCUUUUCCAUCUCGAAGACGAAUCAACGCUAUGUUUAGAAUCAGCUGUUCCCAACAUGCGAAUUGCGCACAGAAAACGGAGCGCUCCAUUAGAGCGUGAUUAAUUAAGUAUUAGCUUUUUUUUUUCAAAAAUGGGUCCAUAUGAUUUUUUGAAGCAACUUUUGUAUAGAAACCUUUUGCAAAAAACACACCGUAUAGCAGUUUGAGAAGCUUGCGCGCGGAAUACGGUGGAGAUGGGUUGGGAACCCUGGAUUCCAAACACAGCCCAAGUCUAUCCAAAAUGUUUAGACAAGAAAAUACGUAACAAGUUGGUUUACAGAAAUACGAAUUAGAUCAAUCCUGCACUACAAGUAGAGUAAAGUGGUGAUUUCUCUUAAAUCUCUCGAAUGGUGAUUUAAGAAUUCAGUGCAAACCAAAUCCUUGCUAUAAUCAAAUGUUCGGUACCGCAUCAACGGAACAAUAAAAAGCGCCUGGCGUACCAUAAUUUUGUCAUUCUUGUUGAAAUUUGUAAUUUAAGAUGCAUGAGGCCACACGACCUUAAUGUUCAACGUGUCAUGCAUUAGUGAAAUAAUAGCUCACAAAACGCAACAAAUAUAGCUAGAUAACGGUUGCAAUCCUUACCAAACUAACGUAUAAAGUGAGCGAUGAGUCAUAUCAUUAUCUCCCGCCUGCUAACCAUCGUGUACACCAUCCGAUCCCAAAAAUGACAACUUCUAGGGAUGAACCUGGACAAGGUUUAGGGUUUAGGGAUGAAUCUGGACAAAUGAUUGUUCAGGUUCAUCCCUAGAUGUUGCUUUCUCCUUACGGGACGGAGGGAGUAUAUGUGAUGGACACAAAAGUUACUUUCAUGAUGAAACCAAAGGGGAUUUGUUGGGGCACCUAAUAGAACAUCUGUCCAAAUGGCAUGACUCACUUAUAUCCUAAUAGGACAUCCAAGAAAAACUAACACUCUAAAGCAACCGAUGAGGAAUUGAAAGAAAAUACGUGCCACCGCAUCUAUAAAUGGACAAGCGCAAUGGAAACCCUCCUCAUCGUUCACACAGUUCAAGCAUUAUACAGCAAAAUAGAAAGAUCUAGUGUCCCGCAGCAAUGAAGAUCAUUUUCGUCUUUGCUCUCCUUGCUAUUGCUGCAUGCAGCGCCUCUGCGCAGUUUGAUGUUUUAGGUCAAAGUUAUAGGCAAUAUCAGCUGCAGUCGCCUGUCCUGCUACAGCAACAGGUGCUUAGCCCAUAUAAUGAGUUCGUAAGGCAGCAGUAUGGCAUAGCGGCAAGCCCCUUCUUGCAAUCAGCUGCGUUUCAACUGAGAAACAACCAAGUCUGGCAACAGCUCGCGCUGGUGGCGCAACAAUCUCACUAUCAGGACAUUAACAUUGUUCAGGCCAUAGCGCAGCAGCUACAACUCCAGUAGUUUGGUGAUCUCUACUUUGAUCGGAAUCUGGCUCAAGCUCAAGCUCUGUUGGCUUUUAACGUGCCAUCUAGAUAUGGUAUCUACCCUAGGUACUAUGGUGCACCCAGUACCAUUACCACCCUUGGCGGUGUCUUGUAAUGAGUUUUAACAGUAUAGUGGUUCGGAAGUUAAAAAUAAGCUCAGAUAUCAUCAUAUGUGACAUGUGAAACUUUGGGUGAUAUAAAUAGAAAAAAAGUUGUCUUUCAUAUUUAAAUACCAUGCCUCUAUAAGGAUAUAUCCUAGUACGUUGUCGUGACUAAUUACCAUCAUCGGUACUCUACAAUUUUACUGUGUGCUUACAUUCGAUCCGAAGCUACUUUGUUUUUAAGAUAGAAAUGGAGCGUAUAAAGGAUGUCCGUCCUUUUAUUCCAAUAAGAACAAACACAAAGCACAUAUGGAAAAUACUAAAUCCACUACAACAAAAUCAUAGACCAUACAAAGCAGGUAAAGAUGUAGCAAUCCACAUUGAUUCUUCAUCCACUACUACAACAAGCGCAUAUGAAAGGCCGCAUAUGCAUGAUCAUUGUGAAUAUGACAUGCCCUUGUCGAGCAAACGUGUCACUUCAUGCAAAUAUGUUAUUUCAAGCGACAUCAAUAUAUGGUUACAAAAUUUUAAACAUUGGUAUAUUAAUGACUUUCAUAUAUGCAUAUUAAUUUCAAUUGAAAGACAUCUUGUUGUCCAUCAUUCCUAACAAGAGGUAGUGUACAAGGCAUUAUUUAGUUGAGCUCUCGCUCACUUUGCAUCACAGAAGCAUAACCUAGACAUAGGUAAUUCAUUAUAGUAUCAAAAACUGCAGCAGCUACAAUGAGGGUAAAAACUAGAAAGAAGGAUUUAUUAUGUUCCUUAGUUUAUUCAGCCACGAAAGAGUGACUUAAAAAAAUGUACACUUCUUCCAAAGUGAAAAUUAUGGGAUGUCUUACUUAUGGAAUGCUCCUACACACUGAGGUUGUUCUUGCUGACCCCUCGUUUCUAUGAGAAGUUUAUUAUAACAUACCAAGUCGAUAGUUUACUGCAAACAAAAUGGAUAAUAAACCUGAUGUUUCAACAAAACUACAGGAACUCACGCAUGAUGUACCCAAAGGUAACUGGUUCUUGACACACUACAAAUCUGUGGUAGUCCUUUUCCAUCUCGAAGACGAAUCAACGCUAUGUUUAGAAUCAGCUGUUCCCAACAUGCGAAUUGCGCACAGAAAACGGAGCGCUCCAUUAGAGCGUGAUUAAUUAAGUAUUAGCUUUUUUUUUUCAAAAAUGGGUCCAUAUGAUUUUUUGAAGCAACUUUUGUAUAGAAACCUUUUGCAAAAAACACACCGUAUAGCAGUUUGAGAAGCUUGCGCGCGGAAUACGGUGGAGAUGGGUUGGGAACCCUGGAUUCCAAACACAGCCCAAGUCUAUCCAAAAUGUUUAGACAAGAAAAUACGUAACAAGUUGGUUUACAGAAAUACGAAUUAGAUCAAUCCUGCACUACAAGUAGAGUAAAGUGGUGAUUUCUCUUAAAUCUCUCGAAUGGUGAUUUAAGAAUUCAGUGCAAACCAAAUCCUUGCUAUAAUCAAAUGUUCGGUACCGCAUCAACGGAACAAUAAAAAGCGCCUGGCGUACCAUAAUUUUGUCAUUCUUGUUGAAAUUUGUAAUUUAAGAUGCAUGAGGCCACACGACCUUAAUGUUCAACGUGUCAUGCAUUAGUGAAAUAAUAGCUCACAAAACGCAACAAAUAUAGCUAGAUAACGGUUGCAAUCCUUACCAAACUAACGUAUAAAGUGAGCGAUGAGUCAUAUCAUUAUCUCCCGCCUGCUAACCAUCGUGUACACCAUCCGAUCCCAAAAAUGACAACUUCUAGGGAUGAACCUGGACAAGGUUUAGGGUUUAGGGAUGAAUCUGGACAAAUGAUUGUUCAGGUUCAUCCCUAGAUGUUGGUUUCUCCUGACGGGACGGAGGGAGUAUAUGUGAUGGACACAAAAGUUACUUUCAUGAUGAAACCAAAGGGGAUUUGUUGGGGCACCUAAUAGAACAUCUGUCCAAAUGGCAUGACUCACUUAUAUCCUAAUAGGACAUCCAAGAAAAACUAACACUCUAAAGCAACCGAUGAGGAAUUGAAAGAAAAUACGUGCCACCGCAUCUAUAAAUGGACAAGCGCAAUGGAAACCCUCCUCAUCGUUCACACAGUUCAAGCAUUAUACAGCAAAAUAGAAAGAUCUAGUGUCCCGCAGCAAUGAAGAUCAUUUUCGUCUUUGCUCUCCUUGCUAUUGCUGCAUGCAGCGCCUCUGCGCAGUUUGAUGUUUUAGGUCAAAGUUAUAGGCAAUAUCAGCUGCAGUCGCCUGUCCUGCUACAGCAACAGGUGCUUAGCCCAUAUAAUGAGUUCGUAAGGCAGCAGUAUGGCAUAGCGGCAAGCCCCUUCUUGCAAUCAGCUGCGUUUCAACUGAGAAACAACCAAGUCUGGCAACAGCUCGCGCUGGUGGCGCAACAAUCUCACUAUCAGGACAUUAACAUUGUUCAGGCCAUAGCGCAGCAGCUACAACUCCAGUAGUUUGGUGAUCUCUACUUUGAUCGGAAUCUGGCUCAAGCUCAAGCUCUGUUGGCUUUUAACGUGCCAUCUAGAUAUGGUAUCUACCCUAGGUACUAUGGUGCACCCAGUACCAUUACCACCCUUGGCGGUGUCUUGUAAUGAGUUUUAACAGUAUAGUGGUUCGGAAGUUAAAAAUAAGCUCAGAUAUCAUCAUAUGUGACAUGUGAAACUUUGGGUGAUAUAAAUAGAAAAAAAGUUGUCUUUCAUAUUUAAAUACCAUGCCUCUAUAAGGAUAUAUCCUAGUACGUUGUCGUGACUAAUUACCAUCAUCGGUACUCUACAAUUUUAUUGUGUGCUUACAUUCGAUCCGAAGCUACUUUGUUUUUAAGAUAGAAAUGGAGCGUAUAAAGGAUGUCCGUCCUUUUAUUCCAAUAAGAACAAACACAAAGCACAUAUGGAAAAUACUAAAUCCACUACAACAAAAUCAUAGACCAUACAAAGCAGGUAAAGAUGUAGCAAUCCACAUUGAUUCUUCAUCCACUACUACAACAAGCGCAUAUGAAAGGCCGCAUAUGCAUGAUCAUUGUGAAUAUGACAUGCCCUUGUCGAGCAAACGUGUCACUUCAUGCAAAUAUGUUAUUUCAAGCGACAUCAAUAUAUGGUUACAAAAUUUUAAACAUUGGUAUAUUAAUGACUUUCAUAUAUGCAUAUUAAUUUCAAUUGAAAGACAUCUUGUUGUCCAUCAUUCCUAACAAGAGGUAGUGUACAAGGCAUUAUUUAGUUGAGCUCUCGCUCACUUUGCAUCACAGAAGCAUAACCUAGACAUAGGUAAUUCAUUAUAGGAUCAAAAACUGCAGCAGCUACAAUGAGGGUAAAAACUAGAAAGAAGGAUUUAUUAUGUUCCUUAGUUUAUUCAGCCACGAAAGAGUGACUUAAAAAAAUGUACACUUCUUCCAAAGUGAAAAUUAUGGGAUGUCUUACUUAUGGAAUGCUCCUACACACUGAGGUUGUUCUUGCUGACCCCUCGUUUCUGUGACAAGUUUAUUAUAACAUACCAAGUCGAUAGUUUACUGCAAACAAAUUGGAUAAUAAACCUGAUGUUUCAACAAAACUACAGGAACUCACGCAUGAUGUACCCAAAGGUAACUGGUUCUUGACACACUACAAAUCUGUGGUAGUCCUUUUCCAUCUCGAAGACGAAUCAACGCUGUGUUUAGAAUCAGCUGUUCCCAACAUGCGAAUUGCGCACAGAAAACGGAGCGCUCCAUUAGAGCGUGAUUAAUUAAGUAUUAGCUUUUUUUUUUCAAAAAUGGGUCCAUAUGAUUUUUUGAAGCAACUUUUGUAUAGAAACCUUUUGCAAAAAACACACCGUAUAGCAGUUUGAGAAGCUUGCGCGCGGAAUACGAUGGAGAUGGGUUGGGAACCCUGGAUUCCAAACACAGCCCAAGUCUAUCCAAAAUGUUUAGACAAGAAAAUACGUAACAAGUUGGUUUACAGAAAUACGAAUUAGAUCAAUCCUGCACUACAAGUAGAGUAAAGUGGUGAUUUCUCUUAAAUCUCUCGAAUGGUGAUUUAAGAAUUCAGUGCAAACCAAAUCCUUGCUAUAAUCAAAUGUUCGGUACCGCAUCAACGGAACAAUAAAAAGCGCCUGGCGUACCAUAAUUUUGUCAUUCUUGUUGAAAUUUGUAAUUUAAGAUGCAUGAGGCCACACGACCUUAAUGUUCAACGUGUCAUGCAUUAGUGAAAUAAUAGCUCACAAAACGCAACAAAUAUAGCUAGAUAACGGUUGCAAUCCUUACCAAACUAACGUAUAAAGUGAGCGAUGAGUCAUAUCAUUAUCUCCCGCCUGCUAACCAUCGUGUACACCAUCCGAUCCCAAAAAUGACAACUUCUAGGGAUGAACCUGGACAAGGUUUAGGGUUUAGGGAUGAAUCUGGACAAAUGAUUGUUCAGGUUCAUCCCUAGAUGUUGGUUUCUCCUUACGGGAUGGAGGGAGUAUAUGUGAUGGACACAAAAGUUACUUUCAUGAUGAAACCAAAGGGGAUUUGUUGGGGCACCUAAUAGAACAUCUGUCCAAAUGGCAUGACUCACUUAUAUCCUAAUAGGACAUCCAAGAAAAACUAACACUCUAAAGCAACCGAUGAGGAAUUGAAAGAAAAUAUGUGCCACCGCAUCUAUAAAUGGACAAGCGCAAUGGAAACCCUCCUCAUCGUUCACACAGUUCAAGCAUUAUACAGCAAAAUAGAAAGAUCUAGUGUCCCGCAGCAAUGAAGAUCAUUUUCGUCUUUGCUCUCCUUGCUAUUGCUGCAUGCAGCGCCUCUGCGCAGUUUGAUGUUUUAGGUCAAAGUUAUAGGCAAUAUCAGCUGCAGUCGCCUGUCCUGCUACAGCAACAGGUGCUUAGCCCAUAUAAUGAGUUCGUAAGGCAGCAGUAUGGCAUAGCGGCAAGCCCCUUCUUGCAAUCAGCUGCGUUUCAACUGAGAAACAACCAAGUCUGGCAACAGCUCGCGCUGGUGGCGCAACAAUCUCACUAUCAGGACAUUAACAUUGUUCAGGCCAUAGCGCAGCAGCUACAACUCCAGCAGUUUGGUGAUCUCUACUUUGAUCGGAAUCUGGCUCAAGCUCAAGCUCUGUUGGCUUUUAACGUGCCAUCUAGAUAUGGUAUCUACCCUAGGUACUAUGGUGCACCCAGUACCAUUACCACCCUUGGCGGUGUCUUGUAAUGAGUUUUAACAGUAUAGUGGUUCGGAAGUUAAAAAUAAGCUCAGAUAUCAUCAUAUGUGACAUGUGAAACUUUGGGUGAUAUAAAUAGAAAAAAAGUUGUCUUUCAUAUUUAAAUACCAUGCCUCUAUAAGGAUAUAUCCUAGUACGUUGUCGUGACUAAUUACCAUCAUCGGUACUCUACAAUUUUACUGUGUGCUUACAUUCGAUCCGAAGCUACUUUGUUUUUUAGAUAGAAAUGGAGCGUAUAAAGGAUGUCCGUCCUUUUAUUCCAAUAAGAACAAACACAAAGCACAUAUGGAAAAUACUAAAUCCACUACAACAAAAUCAUAGACCAUACAAAGCAGGUAAAGAUGUAGCAAUCCACAUUGAUUCUUCAUCCACUACUACAACAAGCGCAUAUGAAAGGCCGCAUAUGCAUGAUCAUUGUGAAUAUGACAUGCCCUUGUCGAGCAAACGUGUCACUUCAUGCAAAUAUGUUAUUUCAAGCGACAUCAAUAUAUGGUUACAAAAUUUUAAACAUUGGUAUAUUAAUGACUUUCAUAUAUGCAUAUUAAUUUCAAUUGAAAGACAUCUUGUUGUCCAUCAUUCCUAACAAGAGGUAGUGUACAAGGCAUUAUUUAGUUGAGCUCUCGCUCACUUUGCAUCACAGAAGCAUAACCUAGACAUAGGUAAUUCAUUAUAGUAUCAAAAACUGCAGCAGCUACAAUGAGGGUAAAAACUAGAAAGAAGGAUUUAUUAUGUUCCUUAGUUUAUUCAGCCACGAAAGAGUGACUUAAAAAAAUGUACACUUCUUCCAAAGUGAAAAUUAUGGGAUGUCUUACUUAUGGAAUGCUCCUACACACUGAGGUUGUUCUUGCUGACCCCUCGUUUCUAUGAGAAGUUUAUUAUAACAUACCAAGUCGAUAGUUUACUGCAAACAAAUUGGAUAAUAAACCUGAUGUUUCAACAAAACUACAGGAACUCACGCAUGAUGUACCCAAAGGUAACUGGUUCUUGACACACUACAAAUCUGUGGUAGUCCUUUUCCAUCUCGAAGACGAAUCAACGCUGUGUUUAGAAUCAGCUGUUCCCAACAUGCGAAUUGCGCACAGAAAACGGAGCGCUCCAUUAGAGCGUGAUUAAUUAAGUAUUAGCUUUUUUUUUUCAAAAAUGGGUCCAUAUGAUUUUUUGAAGCAACUUUUGUAUAGAAACCUUUUGCAAAAAACACACCGUAUAGCAGUUUGAGAAGCUUGCGCGCGGAAUACGAUGGAGAUGGGUUGGGAACCCUGGAUUCCAAACACAGCCCAAGUCUAUCCAAAAUGUUUAGACAAGAAAAUACGUAACAAGUUGGUUUACAGAAAUACGAAUUAGAUCAAUCCUGCACUACAAGUAGAGUAAAGUGGUGAUUUCUCUUAAAUCUCUCGAAUGGUGAUUUAAGAAUUCAGUGCAAACCAAAUCCUUGCUAUAAUCAAAUGUUCGGUACCGCAUCAACGGAACAAUAAAAAGCGCCUGGCGUACCAUAAUUUUGUCAUUCUUGUUGAAAUUUGUAAUUUAAGAUGCAUGAGGCCACACGACCUUAAUGUUCAACGUGUCAUGCAUUAGUGAAAUAAUAGCUCACAAAACGCAACAAAUAUAGCUAGAUAACGGUUGCAAUCCUUACCAAACUAACGUAUAAAGUGAGCGAUGAGUCAUAUCAUUAUCUCCCGCCUGCUAACCAUCGUGUACACCAUCCGAUCCCAAAAAUGACAACUUCUAGGGAUGAACCUGGACAAGGUUUAGGGUUUAGGGAUGAAUCUGGACAAAUGAUUGUUCAGGUUCAUCCCUAGAUGUUGGUUUCUCCUUACGGGAUGGAGGGAGUAUAUGUGAUGGACACAAAAGUUACUUUCAUGAUGAAACCAAAGGGGAUUUGUUGGGGCACCUAAUAGAACAUCUGUCCAAAUGGCAUGACUCACUUAUAUCCUAAUAGGACAUCCAAGAAAAACUAACACUCUAAAGCAACCGAUGAGGAAUUGAAAGAAAAUAUGUGCCACCACAUCUAUAAAUGGACAAGCGCAAUGGAAACCCUCCUCAUCGUUCACACAGUUCAAGCAUUAUACAGCAAAAUAGAAAGAUCUAGUGUCCCGCAGCAAUGAAGAUCAUUUUCGUCUUUGCUCUCCUUGCUAUUGCUGCAUGCAGCGCCUCUGCGCAGUUUGAUGUUUUAGGUCAAAGUUAUAGGCAAUAUCAGCUGCAGUCGCCUGUCCUGCUACAGCAACAGGUGCUUAGCCCAUAUAAUGAGUUCGUAAGGCAGCAGUAUGGCAUAGCGGCAAGCCCCUUCUUGCAAUCAGCUGCGUUUCAACUGAGAAACAACCAAGUCUGGCAACAGCUCGCGCUGGUGGCGCAACAAUCUCACUAUCAGGACAUUAACAUUGUUCAGGCCAUAGCGCAGCAGCUACAACUCCAGCAGUUUGGUGAUCUCUACUUUGAUCGGAAUCUGGCUCAAGCUCAAGCUCUGUUGGCUUUUAACGUGCCAUCUAGAUAUGGUAUCUACCCUAGGUACUAUGGUGCACCCAGUACCAUUACCACCCUUGGCGGUGUCUUGUAAUGAGUUUUAACAGUAUAGUGGUUCGGAAGUUAAAAAUAAGCUCAGAUAUCAUCAUAUGUGACAUGUGAAACUUUGGGUGAUAUAAAUAGAAAAAAAGUUGUCUUUCAUAUUUAAAUACCAUGCCUCUAUAAGGAUAUAUCCUAGUACGUUGUCGUGACUAAUUACCAUCAUCGGUACUCUACAAUUUUACUGUGUGCUUACAUUCGAUCCGAAGCUACUUUGUUUUUAAGAUAGAAAUGGAGCGUAUAAAGGAUGUCCGUCCUUUUAUUCCAAUAAGAACAAACACAAAGCACAUAUGGAAAAUACUAAAUCCACUACAACAAAAUCAUAGACCAUACAAAGCAGGUAAAGAUGUAGCAAUCCACAUUGAUUCUUCAUCCACUACUACAACAAGCGCAUAUGAAAAGCCGCAUAUGCAUGAUCAUUGUGAAUAUGACAUGCCCUUGUCGAGCAAACGUGUCACUUCAUGCAAAUAUGUUAUUUCAAGAGACAUCAAUAUAUGGUUACAAAAUUUUAAACAUUGGUAUAUUAAUGACUUUCAUAUAUGCAUAUUAAUUUCAAUUGAAAGACAUCUUGUUGUCCAUCAUUCCUAACAAGAGGUAGUGUACAAGGCAUUAUUUAGUUGAGCUCUCGCUCACUUUGCAUCACAGAAGCAUAACCUAGACAUAGGUAAUUCAUGAUAGGAUCAAAAACUGCAGCAGCUACAAUGAGGGUAAAAACUAGAAAGAAGGAUUUAUUAUGUUCCUUAGUUUAUUCAGCCACGAAAGAGUGACUUAAAAAAAUGUACACUUCUUCCAAAGUGAAAAUUAUGGGAUGUCUUACUUAUGGAAUGCUCCUACACACUGAGGUUGUUCUUGCUGACCCCUCGUUUCUGUGACAAGUUUAUUAUAACAUACCAAGUCGAUAGUUUACUGCAAACAAAAUGGAUAAUAAACCUGAUGUUUCAACAAAACUACAGGAACUCACGCAUGAUGUACCCAAAGGUAACUGGUUCUUGACACACUACAAAUCUGUGGUAGUCCUUUUCCAUCUCGAAGACGAAUCAACGCUGUGUUUAGAAUCAGCUGUUCCCAACAUGCGAAUUGCGCACAGAAAACGGAGCGCUCCAUUAGAGCGUGAUUAAUUAAGUAUUAGCUUUUUUUUUUCAAAAAUGGGUCCAUAUGAUUUUUUGAAGCAACUUUUGUAUAGAAACCUUUUGCAAAAAACACACCGUAUAGCAGUUUGAGAAGCUUGCGCGCGGAAUACGAUGGAGAUGGGUUGGGAACCCUGGAUUCCAAACACAGCCCAAGUCUAUCCAAAAUGUUUAGACAAGAAAAUACGUAACAAGUUGGUUUACAGAAAUACGAAUUAGAUCAAUCCUGCACUACAAGUAGAGUAAAGUGGUGAUUUCUCUUAAAUCUCUCGAAUGGUGAUUUAAGAAUUCAGUGCAAACCAAAUCCUUGCUAUAAUCAAAUGUUCGGUACCGCAUCAACGGAACAAUAAAAAGCGCCUGGCGUACCAUAAUUUUGUCAUUCUUGUUGAAAUUUGUAAUUUAAGAUGCAUGAGGCCACACGACCUUAAUGUUCAACGUGUCAUGCAUUAGUGAAAUAAUAGCUCACAAAACGCAACAAAUAUAGCUAGAUAACGGUUGCAAUCCUUACCAAACUAACGUAUAAAGUGAGCGAUGAGUCAUAUCAUUAUCUCCCGCCUGCUAACCAUCGUGUACACCAUCCGAUCCCAAAAAUGACAACUUCUAGGGAUGAACCUGGACAAGGUUUAGGGUUUAGGGAUGAAUCUGGACAAAUGAUUGUUCAGGUUCAUCCCUAGAUGUUGGUUUCUCCUUACGGGAUGGAGGGAGUAUAUGUGAUGGACACAAAAGUUACUUUCAUGAUGAAACCAAAGGGGAUUUGUUGGGGCACCUAAUAGAACAUCUGUCCAAAUGGCAUGACUCACUUAUAUCCUAAUAGGACAUCCAAGAAAAACUAACACUCUAAAGCAACCGAUGAGGAAUUGAAAGAAAAUACGUGCCACCGCAUCUAUAAAUGGACAAGCGCAAUGGAAACCCUCCUCAUCGUUCACACAGUUCAAGCAUUAUACAGCAAAAUAGAAAGAUCUAGUGUCCCGCAGCAAUGAAGAUCAUUUUCGUCUUUGCUCUCCUUGCUAUUGCUGCAUGCAGCGCCUCUGCGCAGUUUGAUGUUUUAGGUCAAAGUUAUAGGCAAUAUCAGCUGCAGUCGCCUGUCCUGCUACAGCAACAGGUGCUUAGCCCAUAUAAUGAGUUCGUAAGGCAGCAGUAUGGCAUAGCGGCAAGCCCCUUCUUGCAAUCAGCUGCGUUUCAACUGAGAAACAACCAAGUCUGGCAACAGCUCGCGCUGGUGGCGCAACAAUCUCACUAUCAGGACAUUAACAUUGUUCAGGCCAUAGCGCAGCAGCUACAACUCCAGCAGUUUGGUGAUCUCUACUUUGAUCGGAAUCUGGCUCAAGCUCAAGCUCUGUUGGCUUUUAACGUGCCAUCUAGAUAUGGUAUCUACCCUAGGUACUAUGGUGCACCCAGUACCAUUACCACCCUUGGCGGUGUCUUGUAAUGAGUUUUAACAGUAUAGUGGUUCGGAAGUUAAAAAUAAGCUCAUAUAUCAUCAUAUGUGACAUGUGAAACUUUGGGUGAUAUAAAUAGAAAAAAAGUUGUCUUUCAUAUUUAAAUACCAUGCCUCUAUAAGGAUAUA